This 71590-nucleotide long non-coding RNA is filed under the name Setaria viridis. RNAcentral's name for it is "long non-coding RNA (SVIR_LNC002080)". Lineage: Eukaryota; Viridiplantae; Streptophyta; Magnoliopsida; Poales; Poaceae. The record is from RNAcentral.
UGCCGUCCUGAUAUGUGCUGAGUGCUAACAUUGGAUUGAUAACAUGUAGAGAUGAACUGCUAUUCCAUUGGUAAAUUGUCCCACUUGCUUGGGGACCUCGAAUUCUACUGCCUGUACAUACUUUCUUGUAGUGUAUAUAGUCGGCGUAGAGCUGCGGUUGUGUGAUUCUUCGUUUGUGGUGCGUGUGCGUGUUAUUUCUUGUACAUUGGAACUGAAUCCCUUAUGAAUCAAUCAGUCUGCUGUAUAUAAAUCCUGUGAAAAUGUGAAUUUUGAUCUCUGCUGAGUGUAUAUUGGCCUGUCCUGUGAGAUGUCAAUGUGUCAUCGAAUCAUUUUUUGUUUAUCAGUGAAGCAUGCGCAUGCGUGACUGGAAUUUGAAAAGGAUAGGCUGUUAUGGCUAGCUAUCUCUGGAAUGAAUGGACAUCAGAAACAAGUAAGGCAUGGAAGUUUCAAAUUUCACCCAUUCCAUGGGUUGAUCCAAAAUCCAAGAUGGCUUAUGAUCAAGCCAGCAUCUCUAAAUCACCUUUUUCCUAGAAAACAGAAAUUAUAAGUAGUUCGACAAGAAGUGUAGACCGAAUUAAAAUAAGACAUUAUCAGAACACUGCUUAAUGGGCCUCAUAUUAUUCUGGGGGGCUCUAUGACGGGAAGGCCCGAGCCCAUCAUUUGUUUUCUCUCUUUGAGUGGCCCGGUCACAAACGCACGCACAUAGUCCGAGCUCUAAACAUGGGCCAAGUUUGGGGUGUAUCGUCCGACAUGAGGGGGGUUCUCUGUCAUAUCACACUCCUCUCCCUUUGAGCUCAUCAAACAAGUUAUGUUUUUGCUGUCUUUCUAUGCCUCUAGGGACACCCAUGUUAAGUUAGUGUUCUAAUGUAGUAUGGUAAAGAACCAGAAUGCUACUUUUUUCUGGGUGUUACAAAUGGGACACCGAACGAUAAUCUACAUACUCGUUAUGUAUUGAUCAUCCAUUAGCUAGUAAUAUAACUUGCCUUUAUAUAGGCGACGGGCUACUAUGAUACUUGUGGUGUGGAUGCACGCUAGUGGAUGCUUUAUGUGGCUAGGGGAUGCACGCCAUCCUUGUGGUGUUCCCUACCAAAGCACCAUGCAAGUUUAAUGUAACACCUCACCUGAGUAAUCACCUUCCGAGGGACGGGCCUAUAUAAACAUAGCAUCUCACUCACACUUUUGUCCUAACUUUAUAUAAAAAGGUUAAUCUAGAGGUGCUAUGUUUGGAGAACAAAAGGCUAUAAGUUUGCUCCACCCACGACAUGGUACUAAAAAUGUACACACAACACUCAUGGAUCACUUAUGAGCUGUAUUUAAGUUGGGCUACAUGUCACACUUGCACUGCAAUGCUGCAUGAAGCUAUGCAUAUGCAUGCAUGCUUAAACCAUGUGAUGCUAGUGCACUACCACAUUUGACUGCGAACAACUUCCUAGAUUUUGUAGUCAGUUCUUGUUUGUAGUGAUUAAUUAGAUUUUCACAUAGAGAAAAAAAGGCAAGUUAUUGUUCCCAUACAAGACAAAACUUAAAGGCAUGCACCAUAAAUGUACCAACUAAAUUGUCUGACUGUUUUCUCAUCGAUCUAUCAUGCUUUUCAUCCUUCAAACCUGCUCUUCCUCCUCCUAACCUAUCUUCCUCCUUUCUGUUUCCCUUCCCUGGCAUCAAAUGCUUAAACAACAGAUCUGCAAGAAGCAAUGGCAGAUGUCUAGGAGGUCUUGGUUAAGGUAACCCCUUCAUCCACCAUAAUCUAAGUAUGUGAUGAGUUUAAGAUUUUCUCAUGGCUCAGGCACUCUCACCUCCCACGCGCUGGAUGUGCCAAUCCAACAAAUCAACCAUCUGUAGCUAUAUAAUUUCCAUCCCUAUCCCUAUCACUGACCUUUCCAGUGAUGAUGAGGCUACCACACAUAUGUCCUGUUUGAGAAACAAUAGGAGCAUGAUGGAUAAGAAGAAGAUAACUCUUUUAUUGAUGUAGACGGUUCCUCUUCUUGAAGGAUCAUGUGAUGCCUAGGGGGCACUACAAGAAAUCUUCCGACCAGUAACGAACCAAAAAGUGUCAUAAACGGGUUUUUUGCAUCAUAAACCGAGAUUUAUGAUGCGAGAGUGAUGAAAACCCUUCGUCAUUAGUCGAGCGUCAUAAAUCGUGACUAGUGACGUUCCUUAUUUUGGUGCGUCACUAAGAUAAUGACGAAUGAAAAUUUGUCCCACAUGUCGUCACAAAACUGUUUCGGAGGUUGCGCCACGUUGGACAAGAAUCCAACAUGGCUCCGAUGUGGUAGGGGUGUUAUGACGAUUUCGGUUCAUCACAAUUUGAAGCUCGUUUCAUGUAAGAGCCUUUAUGAGCCCAAUUUUGUUGGGCCAUUUUAGCCCAUUUUAGGUUUCUGUGUUAUAUAGUUCACCAGCAAUAAUAAUGCAACAUACAAUAAGUUAAGCAUCAACAAUGCAACAUACAACAAAAGUUCAUCAGCAACAAACAACAACUUCACCAGCAACACACUUCAGUUGAGGGGAGGAUUCAUUUAACUGGAGCUGAAGUUUAUCAAACUAGAAAUCAGAGAGUGCUACUAUUUUGUGGUGUUCUUAAAAGCUUGGAGCUUUUAUGUCUGAGACUUCAAUGUUGUUUCUUGUGUUUCAGACCUCAAUCUCAGUGCACCCAUCUCAGGCUCCUGUUCACCGAUCUUUUGCCGAAGUUGUGCCCCCCCCCCCUUGUUUCUCACUCAAGAUCAGCUUUGUAUUUCUUCUACCUGCAGUGUAGUACCAACCCUAGUCCUUUUCUUUGAGGGUGGGUGAAUGCCAGCAACCUCCCGAAAUGUCUUAGAUUGGACAACUUCAGCCACUGCUUUAGCAGCAGUCUUUGGUUGGUCGUUCCCAGGUUGGACGAUAAUUUGUUCCAUUCGAGCCUAAUAAAAGAAAGAAAAUGAAAGGUGUGGGGACCGCCCCUUGGAUGUUCACAAUUAAGCAAUACAGUGCCAUGCCCUGGAUUAGUAUCUGGCACCAACGUAUAUUGGAAUGAUUAUCAGAGUAAGAAGAAAAGAAAAUUGGAGGAAUUAUGUCGGUGUUAUAUUCACCUUUAGGGAAUAAUCAAGCAACAAUUAAUGCACAGCGAAAAGAUGAAAGCUGACUCCCUAGGCAACCUGGCAAAACAAACAAGAUUGAGUACUUUUGCUAGAAGUACUCAUCAAGCAUCUUAAUGUAGAAAAGUUAAUGACAUGUAAGGUAAAUCAAGGAAAACUAGGUUUAUAUGCAGAAAGUUGUUUGUAUGCAUAGUGUAACACCAUUUGGGAUUUAAUGGGGGGAGGGUAGUUGUUAUUAUUAUAAUAAUGUUGUUUUGGCCCUGGAGGGGGAAACAAGCCUCCCCUACCAGUUCCCAUAUUUUAAAGGCAACGAUCGUCAGGAUCUUGCUUAUCUCACAGCAUGGGCAUUUGCCCCUAAUUCUCUACUUUGUAUCAAAGAGGUGUGACUAAUCAAAGAGAGUUUUGACCAUGUGAGUUCAUGACCGAGAACCUCGACUAUUUGAAUAGAUUAAUUAACUCUACAGAGCCUAGACACUUUGCCCAUACGAUUGGGUAGCCCAUACCAAGGCGUUUGGCAGUACUACCCUAUGAGACCCAUACCCACCGGCAUCCAUCUCUGGACGACAUCCUCUAGCUCCAUCCAUGGAUAACACUAGGGCCUAAGCAGAGGCCAUUCCACAUCCACUCAGGGACACUAACCUAGGAAAAUAGAUGCAUCAUAACGUGGCAUGCAAUGCCAUCAGGCCCUACAGACCUCAACCGAUGACCCAUGCUAGCCGGACCUAGGACUCUGUGAAGGUCCUGCUCUAGUGCAUCCGUUGCCCACCGUGGCCCCUUGGGAUGGUUUACUAGAUUCUGUAGUGGGGUGUGAAUCAAGUCCUCACAUAAGUAGGCACUCCCGAAGGUUGUACCUUUUUGGCUCGUAUGGUUGCACAUAUACACUAGAAAGAUUUUUUCAAUGAGCCGAUCCUUAAAUGAUCGAGGCAACACUGGGUAGGGGCCCCUCACGAGGUUACCCAACUUACCUCACAUCCUCCUUAGUUGGUUUCUAGUCAAGUUUUAUAGUUCAUUUUCUUUGCCACAACUCACACCUAAAGAAUUAGAUUGGCAAAUAGAAAAUAUAUGAGAUCUAUCAGGCCUUAGGUACAACGGCAUUCCUAGAGUUUUAAGCAAGGAGGAAGAGUAAGGGCUUGCUUUUAGGAAUAUACUUAACCUUAUAUUUAGGGGUUUAUGAAGUAUGCAAUAUCACAUUAUAAUCUUGGUUAAUUUUAGUAUUGCAAAGCAUAGCAUGGACAAGGGGUUGGUGUUAAGACUUUCCUUGCUUGUCGAGCUGCGAAACUGAAUCCUUAUAUGGAUGACUAUCUUCGAGGUGAAACGUAAACUUCUCGGAUGUCGGUGUUUAGACCCGGCAACCUACCGAGGAGGUACACGAGGUAGUGUUUUAUGCGUGGGGCUCACCGAAGACCAGGAACUCCAAGGUGAACUCGAACACAUGAUUUAGAUAGGUUCGGGCAGCUUAUGUCGUGUAAUACCCUACGUCCUGUGUGUUGGUUGUGUUGUAUUGAUUGAUGUUGUUUGGACAGGGUCCCUGCCUCGCCUUAUAUUGCCGGGGGCGGGGUUACGGGUCGGUUGUUUACAAGAAUACUAGUCAGAUUCGACUAGAGUAUCCUACUCUAAUUGCUUAUGAGUAGUUUCCUAAUCCUCAACUAGUUCCUGUCCUCCACGUAGACCAUGCCGUCUUGCACCGUAGUCUUCAUGUCUGACACAUCUCAGUGUACAGCCCCGUAUCUAGGACUGUCCAAGCCUCUCGGUGGGCCCAUAGAUGUACGGCCAACAUUGGGGAGAGAUUAAGAUACUAAUGAACAUGCAAUCAAUCAUCAAUCAAAGUAAUCCAAAGCUUAUUGGAAAGAAUCUAAGAAGGUUGUGAAGGGGGUUGGGAUGGAUUUUCCUAAGUUUCUGGUGAUCUUCUAUAUUUCAUGUGAUUUUCUAGGUGUAGGUUUAUGGGUUAUUGAAUGGUUUGGUAAUAGACACUUGGUUAUGGGGCUUGGGUAUGUGCUAAGAAUUUCCCAAGUUCCUAGGAAGGGUUUGGAAGUUUGGCUUAGUUUCUAAUAUAAAGACAAUAGGAUUGCUAUAGAUUUAUUAAGUGUCCCCUUAGUUUUGGGGGUUUAAGAUGCGAGUUUGGGAAGGUGAACUCAUGAAUGUGCCUAAAAUAUAUCCCAGUAUUUUUAGAAAUUUAUUAGAUAUUUUUGGAGCUAAGAAUGGCAAAAGGAGAGAUUUUUGGUACACUAAUGGGGCUCUUUUGUUGGCUAAAAAUGGUUUUAUCUAGUUUUGGACCUUAAAGAUGUGUAAAAGGAGAUUGGGUGGUUCUAAUGUGUUUGGGAACCUUUCUAAUAUUUUUGGAAAUUUUGACGGAUUUUUUUGGAUAAGUGGAAGUGGGUGAAAUAACAUUUGGGGUACUCUCAGCAGUGUGUACCUAGAGUUUUCGUAUAGUUUGUGAGACCGAUAGGUGGGGCCGAGUCAGCAGGUCAGCGAGGCUAUGACGGAGGUGGCUGUGCUGUGGACCUAGUUCGUGGUCUUGUGGACCGGGGUGAACGGAUGAGAGUGGUCCACUGGACCGGGUGUACGGAAGGGUAGGGGGUGGCGUGGUGCUGAUGGGGCAGUGUGCAUGGCGUUUGUGUGACGCUAGCGCGUGGGGCUGGGGCUGACAUGGACGCCACCCAGGCACCACGUGGGAGCGCCACCCAACAUGGGCACCGGAGUGCGGCGGUGUGAGCAGAGGGGCUCGCCGGAGCUUCUGCCACCGGCCGCUACGAGGUGGGGCUUGGGACAAGGAGUGGCUCUAUGACCUCAGGGUGUCAUGGCGGUGAGGAUAGGCUAGGUCCUGAUGUGGAUUAGAGGUUGGGGUGGCUGUUUCGGCUCACCGGAGUGGCGACGACGGUGCGGCCAAGAAGGGAAAUUGGCCUGGGAGAGGGUUGGGGGCUAUGGCGAGUAUACGGGUGUGGUUGGGAGUGCAAGGCGCAUGCGUCUGGGUGGUUAGGCUGGCUGGGAGGUGGCUGGUGCGGCGCCGACGGCUUGCUGGAAUCGGGCGGUGCUACGAUCUAGCGAGGAGGGGCGACCGGAGGGGGGUGCAGAGCUCGAGUGGCAAUUUUGGCAGCAUAACAGGGCUACCUGUGGUGCUACUGUGGGCGGUGCGACGGUCGGAGCAAGGCGACGGCGUGCAGUGGUUGCGGGGUUGAGCGGCGGUGGUAGGUCAGCGUGGAGCGGCCAGCAAAGCGGCGCCGUGGCAUGGGAAAUGAGGCUAAGGGCUUCGCGACAACCUUGACUUCAACCCAUCCUAGCUUUAGGAGACAGAGCAUAGCGGUGGUUGGAGGCUGCGAGCCUGGGUUCCUACUCCAGCAAGGGAAAGGAGGUGAGAUGGUGGUGUGAGGUGGGAAGGCGCCGGGAGGGGGCUAUUUGUAGCCCCGGGAGGAGCUCGAGGUGCGUCUCGAGCCAACGGAUAAGGCCAGAGGUGAGCGGAUAAGCUCACUGGCCGUUAAUGGUAGGCGAUGAGCAGUACGUUGGCAGGGCUCUGGCAUGGGUGUGCAGGAGGGCAAGGGACGCGUCACGGGCGUGGUUGAGGAGCCGGAUCGAUGUGGCGUGACGGGGUCGCUCCAAGGUGCUGCUCGGAGUAGUGAAUAGUGGAUGGGGUGAGGAGAUCAGGGCGACGGCCGUUGUAGCCACGCCGUGGCAUCGCGUGUGCAGGUGCGAGUGGCCAAGGUUGUGAGGAAAGGGAGGGGGAUUCUGACAGAGGGAGUAGGCGAGGUCUGGUCGUGGCAGUACGGUGCACUUGUCAUGGAACAGGGAGAUAGCUGGGGAAGGCGGAUCGGGCGGCGUCGUGUACGCCAAUGAGGGAGGAUGUACAGGCAAGUGUGAGAGGGAAGAGAGGGGGAGGAUGACAACGACGCUGGCAUUGCAGGCUGGGCGAACUGGGCCAAACAGCUCACUAGGCCUUGCGGGAAGGUGGAGGGAGGAGGAAGAUGGAUUGGGCUAGAAGGUUGUUUGGGUUGAAAGUGAAGCUAUCAGCCUGCUUAGUAAUAGGGGAGCUUAGCAUUUAUUUGGAGGGGUUCUUGGUAUAGUUUGAAUUCAAAUUUAGUUCAAAUUUGAGAAUUGCCUAUAAAAUUUGGAUCUUUUCCUAAACUCUCUAGCACACAAAUGCACAACCACGUGAUGUUUAUGCUUAAUAUGAACAUUUGUUGAAAUAAUUUUAAUUAUUGGGGAGAAAAGAAGAAAAUUUAACAAGUCCUCAUUUUUUAAUGUUUUAAAUUUUUGGGAUGUUAUAGAUCUACCCCAUUUAAGGGAAUCUCAUCCUCGAGAUUCAGAGGGUUAGAUAAGAAAGAUAGGGGUACGAUUUAUUUCUUUUCAUUUUUAUGGUUCAUUUCCUAAUUCUUGGGUUUUCCUUAUGCAUCUUUGGUUUUGAUUUACCCAUGAUUUUAAGGGGUUAUAGAUUUUUUAAUGUUAUUUCUUCCUUAGUUCUUUUAUGAUUAUUUUUAUCCUUAAGUUCCUCAAAUUUCCUUUACUAUCUUCUUGUCUUUGGAUGGGUUAUUUGUUGGUUGUUUUUAUUAAGGGAUCAUUUCCUUUUUUUUAUAGAUUCCUCUUCUUAUUAUGUAUUUAUAGUUUUAUUGGGUUUUCUGGAUAUUUACUCCCGUACUUAUUAUGUGGGGUUACAUAUUUUAUUUCGUCUUUAUAUGGGGUGCUACCCCACUUAAGGUGUUUUAGGGUUCUUUUCUUUUCUUUGUCUUAUCUUUUGAUCCUUCCUUAUGCUUAUGGGUAGAGUUUUAUUCAUGAUCUUCUGGGAGUCUAACUUUGUUCUUAGUGAAAAAUAUAUUUAUUUUCUGCUUUUUAGAGUUAAUAUACAUUUUGAUGAUCCCGGGUGUUUAGUGGGUGAAGAUUUAUUUCCUUUUUAUUUUAAUCCUUAAGUUCUUGGGAUUUAGUGUUUCUAUUAGGUUACUACGCCACUUAAGGAUUUCUAACUUUAUGUUUAACUGGGGUAGGAGGGUAAGGUUAUCAGGUUUCCUUGAAGAGUUGGGCUUAUUUAUGGUUGUGAACUUGGGUGACUACUUCCUGUUGAAAAUUUCGUAUGAUGAUUCUUUUGGAUAUCUAGGGGCGGGAUAUUCCUCCUAAGGAGUAGUGGUAGUUAUGUUUUCCUUGUUUGGGGAUCCUUUUAAUGGUUAAGGUGGUCCUUUACAUUUCUAUCGAGAAACUUGCAUGUCUUCUACCUUUUACUUCCAGUACUUAGUUUUCGGAGUUUUCUUAUAGUUAGAUUUAUAGUUCUGGGUCUAUUGUUGGUUUACCUUGGGGUUUUCCAGCUAUAUUUAUCUUGGGUAUGUUUGGUGUAGAUAAAUGUUUCUUGCUUGUGCCUUAUUUCUUGGUUUCCUAGUAUCCUUAUUUUGAGUAGUAUCUUUGUAAUGUUUCUUUUUAGGGGGAGCGCCAUCUUAAAGUGUUUCUUUAUUUGAAGGGCUUGGUAUGAUGAUUUUUCUUGAUAAUUUUUUGUCAUUUCACCUUUUAACUAGGCUCCUUACUAUUUUCAUCAUAUGGAAUUGGAAUUGUAACUUUGUUCACUAAAGUGGAUUUUUAACCUUAUUAUUUUGUUCAUAAUAUUAUAGCUAUUAGGGUUAUAUAAUUUCAAGAGUGGAUAGCAUAGAAAGAAGAAGCUCGUGGAGAUUUAUUCCUUAUAAGAGCAUUACAUCAAGCACCUUACAUAUUGGAAGUAUACUACACUUUAGACAACUUCCAAUUUUCUAAUUUACAAGCAAACUACCAUACAAUCUAUAAUACAAGAGAAAGAGAAAAUCUUAUCCUAUACAAUAAUUCUAGUUUUGUCGUACACUAUUUAUACUUGUGUACAUAUGUGUCUAGUAUGGGGGAAGAAUUUCUGUUUCCACUAUUGUCUGCACUUCCUCCAUCUCGGCCAAGUUUUCAUCUUCCUAGGGAUUCCUGUAUAUGGUGUGCACAAUGUGGUCCUUUUCAGCAGGGGUUUUACGGUCGGGAUAUAAACAGAUGGCUAUAUGUGCUGCAAUUUUUGCUUCAUGGGUAAGGGUCGGGGUUGGGUGUGUGUCCUCAUCGCAGGCCCCUAAGUUUAAGGUCAAUUUAGGGAUUUCAAAGGUUUGUAAUCUAGUUUCCUUUCUAAGUUUUGGGGGAAGCCUGCUAUUGAGUUGUUCUAUUUCCUACCUUCUUUUAUCAUCAGACCCUUGCCAACCCUUAUUUAUUCAUUCUAUUUUAUCAUAAAGGUAUAUUACUUUCUUCGUAAGGGUGACAAGGUGGACAAGAGUAAAGGAGUGUUUGCCAUAUGGCCUCGUUGUCGUGUUAACUUAUGUCUUAAGGCUCGAUUUUUCUGAUAUUGGGUCCUAUUGCUGCUUCUUGCUAUUUGGGCUUCUAACUACUCCUGGAGCCCUUCUAUUUGCUCAUAGAAUAUGGUUUGCUGGUUUGUACAUUCUUUUUGAGCUUCCUUGAGUUUCCCUAUGAGGGUAUUUCUCUCGUAUUGGUAUCUCCGUGUUCUCUUACUUUGUUGCUCUAACAUCUUUUCGUAGGUGUCAAAUUGUCCUCUUGAUAUGGUCUGUUUAAAUUCUAAUUUUCUUAGUAUAGUUGAAUAGAAUGAUGGCUACCCCUCCAAGGUUGUACGCAACCCCCAUGAUGUGACCACCAUGGGUGAUGGUCGUGUCGUACAUACAUCUAUGGCCCACUAGAAGAUUUGGAUAGUCCCAAAUAUGGGGCUGGACACCGAGAUGCAUCUGUCAUGGAGACCAUGGCGCAGGGCGGUGUAGUCUACAUGGAAAGAUAGGAAGUAGUCGAGGAUUAGAAAAGUACUCAUUGUAAUAAGAGUAAGACUUCUCUAGUCGUAUUUGACUAGUCUUCCUGUAAUCAACCGACCUGCCCCCGUGUAUAUAAUAAGGUGAGGUAGGGACCCCCUCCAAAGCAAUCCAAUACAACCAACAUACAGGAUAUAGGGUAUUACGCUAUUAAGCGGCCCGAACAUGUCAAAAUCGUGUGUCUGCGUUUACCUUCGAGUUCUUGAUCUCGACGAGCCCCACUAACCAAAACACUACCUCGGGCACCCCCUCGGUAGGUUGCCGGAUCUAAACACCGAUAGGUGGUACAAGGUAGAUGCAAAUUGCUUUAUGGAUGUCAUUAGGCCAUAGGUAGCUUAGGAGCGGGGCGGCGUGGUGCACCCCAUCUAGAUAGCAUGAGGCACACCAGAUCUAGUUCUAGGAGAAAGAGGGAGAGGAGGAGGGGGCGGGGGCGGGGGCGGGGGGUUGGGCAGAUCCGGCCAUGGCCGCCCCUGUUGGAAGGGAGGGGACGUGGUUGUCGAGCUCAAUGAAGGUAAAUGCCUUCAAGAGUUGAAGUGCCCUUCUCAGUGCCAUGUCAUGGUCCUCAAGUAGCUCAGCUAGCUUGUCUCCCAGUCCACAACAGCAGCUAGAGCCCCCUCAUCAAUAUGCGAUGAAACGCUUUGUGGGUGGAGAGAGGAACUAGGUCCAAAAGUCAUGGUGCUAGAUUUGUCUACCGCUGAACCAUAGGGUCGAGAAGUCGGUACCGCCCGCUGCCUUCACCAUGGCAGCCGCCAAGCUUAGGAGAGUGGGAGAAGCUAGGGAGAAAAGGAAAAAGAAGGUCCCACCACCGCCGUCAUUACGAACGCACGGACUUUUGAUGAUGUACUCGAGCGACAAUGCAACUAGCAACAAGCGUAGGAAUGGGGGUACGGUGGCGGCGGCGGAGCUGGGUUUCACCCGAGUCACCCUCUCUUUAUUUUUUUCUACUAAUUCCAGUGAAUAAUAGUAUUCAAAAAUAAGAGCCAAGUUACAGUGGUGGAUAGGCACGAGGGUAAAUCUAAAUGCACAUAAAUAAGCGCCACCUAUAUGAUAUUUUGGCGACAUGCCACAAAAUCAAAGAAGAGAGAGAGAGAGAGAGAAAACUAUAUUAUUGUGGAAUUUUCGUUCGAUAUCGUUGAGGGAUAUAGGAAACGAUAUUAAGAUACAAUGUACUAUUGUGGGAGGCAUUUCUACACAUCAUUUAAUGUAUUCUAGUGUCGUAACAUAUUUGAUAUAGCACCAUGUUACAAUGCACUAGGAUUAGUCUAAUAAUAUUACUUUGAGGAUAUGUGUACAUCUUUUAAUUUAACCCAGGAUUGUUACCCCAAUGUAACAUCGGGUGCACCAUUGUAAUUUAUCUCCAGCUUCUCCGGGGUACUUGUACAGGUGGCGCCACAUACGAGCAAGUUACGAAUGUUUUGAAACGAAGGUUUCGAUGCAAUAAACAAGACCACUAAAGGAGACCGUUAAUAGUAAACAUGCUUACAUGUAAUCAUUGUUUAGGUCAAUCUAAGUGGAGAUUUUAUCAAGAGUUUCAUGACCAUUAAAUAAUAUACCACAUUAACAAUUUUGCUGACGUGGCAAAAUUAUUAUGAGGAGAGAGGAGAGGGAGUUUCAUCGUAUGUGAGAGAAAUUUCAUCACCAUGAAAUCCAACAGACCAUUGUGGCGGAACCGCCCUAAUUAACUUAGCUAAAACACAAUUAAGUCGCCUAACACGCGAUCAUGUACUUUAAUCAAGUUAACUCGGCAGUUCAUCGGAUUUUAUCCGAUAAACCACUCCACAGGACCGAGAAAGCAUAGCUCACACGAAGGUGAGUGGUUCCAGAGAAUACAAUAGAUCGUCCAAAUUAAACAAGUGCAUUGAUUUAUUACAACAUCAGGUUCGAAAUUUAAACAUAGUUUGCAGAGUUCUUAAGCAGCAAAAAUAAACAAAUGGAAGCUAGCGCCGAUGUCGGAAGUCACGAUGAGGCCGAUCAUGACAUCAAUGGUCCCUGUCCUCGCCAUCCGAGGAGGGAUCCCACUCGACCGUCCACCCAGGAGGAAGCUGGGGAGGCCAAGUGCCACUAGCAGCAAACUCGAUCGGGGGCGUCAACAUCACCUGAAAAGAUGUGCCACAACAAGGCUGAGUGGCUACGCUCAACAAGACUUAACCGACCGGUGGUACUAUUCCACCAACACCUAGACAUGCAAGCUUUUUGGCUCUGGGGUUUGCUUUUGCCAAAAGCGACUACAAUAGGUCCUUACUUUCAAUAUUUUAGCCACAGGUUCUAAGUUCAUUUACUUGUCUACGUUAGCAACUACACUAGACAAGCAUAAUUUCUCAGACAAUUAAUGACAAGCAUUAAUAUUAAAAUCAUCAAGUCCAUUCUUACUCAGUGUAGCAUAGCGAUCAAGUAGUCCCAAACUGUGAGAGGUAGACGAAUCGAUUCGAAUUUCUUAACCAUGCAUGGUGAACCUAAUCUCACGACAUCCACGCACCACGAAGGGUCACUUCCUUUGUCGGCCGUCCCCAUCAAUUCCCAGACCCGUGUCGAGCCCACUUCCCUUGGUACAAGGUUCCAUAGACCCGGCCUCUGCCGUUCUAUGACCGCACUUGUCACCACAUGAUGCACCAGGGGAAAACUCAGUUUCCAGAGACAGUGGAACAAACCGCUCACGUCCUGGUUCAAUCAGGUACUAGGCUUCCCCAUCCCAUACUAGGUAUGAGAUUAGUACUUUCAAACACUUGAUUAGGGACACCAUCACAUCUCGACCUUAGUCCAAUUUCAUGUAGACAGACGGGUCAAUCCACCAACCAUCAAAAUAGUUCACAAAGCCCUGCCCCAUCCAUCAUCCUUAUAGUUGUAUCAAAAAGGAGAGCAAACAACUCCUAUAACUUGUGAGUGACAGUCAAUCACUCGACUUUUACCGAGUCCUAUUAAGCAUUGCAACUACUCGACCUAUCAUACUAGUGUUCAGAUCAAGGGCACUAAUUCAUGCAUCUACGGUUUCAAUCAAUUCCUAGAAACGUAAAUGCACAAUCAAAACAACCAAAUAUGUUGCAAGUAGUUAAAGAUAGGAAAUUAUGAUCCGAGGCUUGCCUUCAAGUGGGGCGGUAGCGAACUGGUCUUCGGUGUGCUCGGGCUCGGCUUCUGCAGGCGGCAGCUCAGCUACGACUCCGUCUUCCGGUGCCGGGUGAAGCUCGUAGGUUCUGUCUGCGAGGUUCAUCUCUACACGAAAUGCAAUGCAUCAAGUUAAAAUCUCCACUUUUCAUAGAUCACAAAAACAAAUUAGUGCUGAAGAAGAAGAAGUUAUAUAGGCCACAUUCACCUAGACAAGAUUCUGAACUUUCUUUAUUUGCAUGAAGAAGGUGGGGUGUGGUAUAGGUCGGGGUCGGUUUGAUGGCGAUUGUGUACAUAUACGUAACAUCACUUUGUUAAGCUUUAGAUUGGAAAGUUAUCCUAUUUCUAAAUGUUCUUUUGUACCUCUUCCAAUAUAGCCUUUGUUACCUUAAGGUAGCUGGUAUUUAACUAUUUUUAACAAAAGAUAUCUUUUUUAUACCUUUACCCUAUCUAUUCUUCCCUACACAGGAAAGUGGUUCACCUAGUUACUUUUGGUGGUUUCCAUAUUUUUCCCACAAUUUGAGUUAUACUACUGAUUUGAGUCAGAAGGUUUCAUAUUUUUUUCUCAGCUCCAGAUUAAUUGUUAUGCAAAAAGGUGAAAACAACCUUUUAAACAUGGUAAAACUGAAACAGGGAGUUGUACACCUGAGCCAGCUCCAAAACAUUUUUCCUACCUUCUACUACUUGAAACAAACAUAUGAGAGUUGGUUUCAUAUUUUUAUCAUAUUUCUAUGAUUUGUUAUGAUUUAAAUGGCUUAAACAAGAAUUAAAACAUAUCGCAUUAAUUCCAACAGUGACAUGUGCCAAAAGUAUUUUUUAUUAAAAACUACACUUCAUUCUGAGCCUAGCAAAAUUGGUUUGGCAUUUUUCUAAAUUUUCUACGAAUUUUGGUGAAUUUCCAAAGUUAAACACAAUUUCUGCCUAUUAAAACAUUUAAACUGAGGUAAACUUGCGGACUAGCCCCUAGGUCUAGGGUUUAAUCACUUAAAGGUCCUGGAUUUUAACACUAAGGCCCCUGGUUUAUCUUUCUCAAAAGCAAUUGGGUCCCUGGCGGCGCACGGGCAAAAUCCCGCGAUGCGCCGGUGGCCUAGGGACGAUGAGUGGCCGGAAGGGCUUACGGGCUCGCCUUGGUCUGGUUUGAAGCGGUUGGAGGCGACGGGGAGGCUUGGCCGGGGCGGAACGACGGAAGGCAGAAAGUUUGGGCGGUGGCGGGGUUCGGCGGUGUUCCAGCAGCGGUGGUGCUUCUUUUGGACAACAAGCAAGCUCUAGAGCUACGCGAGAGGAUGGCGAAGCGGCUGGUGGUGUCGGCAAGGCGCGGGGUCGAGCAGAAGGGGGAGCUCCACGGCGAGCUCAGGCGGCGGUGUGUGAGUGCGAAGCAGAGGAGCUUGUGGUGGCGGAACUUUGGGCACGCGAUGAGGGUUCUGGACGGUUGGCUGGAGCGGAGAGGGAGGAGAAGGGGAGCGCGGUAGCACCGGCGGGGCUUUUAUAGGCGUCGGGGGCUUGUGGCUGGCCGGUGGGCCAGAGAAGGGUGGCGUGUGCUGACGCGGCCAUUAAUGGUGACGCGGCAUUGGCAGAUAGGAGGGACGGGCAGGCGCGACAGGCGAGGUGACAGGGCGAGCGACUCGACGUGAGCGUGCGCGAGACGAGCGACUCUGCCGGGGCACGCUACUGGUGAGGCGGGGGAGGAGCUGUCGCAGCCUGCUCAGCGGUUGGCGGAGGCGGAAGCAUUGCGGGGCGCGUGUGGUGGCUGCGCGAUCGGGGGUUUGACGGGAGGGCCAGAAGGCGUUGGGGCGCGCGGCCGGGAAUCCGGGUGGGGCGGAUGCACACGGGAGGCGAGGCGGCACCGGCAGCGGCGCGGUAGUGGCCGGCCUUCGGUCGCGGAGUGUCUGGGGCGGCGGCGAGGCUGCGGGCAGUGCGCCUGGCGUGGCCGGCGAGGCCUCGGGCGGAAGAGACGGGACAGAGCGGAGGGCCGCGGGUCGUCGUCGCGCGUGACUGGGAAGCGAGGCGCGUCGACCCAUCUUGUCGCAGCCGGCGACUGGGCAAGGCGGCGCUCGCCGGUGAGGCCACGCCACGUGGCGGCGGUGCUCUAGAGCGCGACGCACGCGCGCUCAGGCGCGCUCUGGCCGACGGAUCCACGGGAUCUUUUGCCGGGCCCAUCUUCGAGCCUCUUGAUCUCCCAAUUUUCAAACUGCGCCACGUUGACUCCCUUUACAAGAGUUGUAGUACACAGACCAAAGUCCAACUUUUGUAAUUUGACCGAGUUCAGAAACGCGGUGGAUUUGAAGAUUCAACGCUUCAAAGUUUGGAGGAACGCUGAUUUUCAGGACUUAGAGAAAAGCGGCGGUUUUGAUUGGUUUUCAGGGUUCUGGGUUGACUUGAGCUGCAGAUUUCAAGAGCUUCGGAGGUGAAUUGGAUGAAGGUCCAAUUAACGAAGUUGUUGUAGGAACCUAGGUCUCCAACUUCUAUAAAGGGAUUUUCAGAUGUUCUGUUCAACUUUCAAAAGAUAAACCCGCCCUAAGGCGCCAGGUCGGGCUGAUUUCCAGACUUAGCCGGAAUUGCUAAAGGAGGCUGAGUUGACCAAACUAACUAACUUUGACAUAGAUUUUGAAGGCUUUCGGGGUAGAUUUCAAACUUGCUCCUUAAAUAAAAGUUAUUAAGGUACCGAAGAUUUAAAACUUUGGUAUAGGGCUCAGCUCAAUUUGACAUUAGCAAUUUUGAAAUAGAGAGCCUCAAAGUUUGGACUUUGCCCGUUUUAAAACAAAACAACACAGAUUGGUAUUUCGUAUUUUUGGAGGGCUUCUGCUCAGAUCCAAGCAAAACACAAAAAAUGAAAGUUGUUAGGAAGAUUGAGUUCUACAACUCUUAGUUGGACAGAUUUUUAAGUUUCCAAGCAAAUAUUUGAGUUACGGUUUGGGCAGUGUUUUAAGCUUGUGAAGGGCAAAAGGGUACUUUCACUUGCCUUAUUGUUGCCCAAGUUCUUCUUUAAGCACUAAAGACUUGUUCUUAAUAUUAAAACACCGUUUAAUUAAUCUAGGUUGUUACAACACAGUUACCCAAGUUCUUACCUUUGUUAACUAUAUCAUGAAAAGAGACCUUACAACUUAUAAGCACAUAAUAACCGUGAAAUAAUGGGCCGGCUAGCUCUUUUAAUUAAGACCAGCUAGCUAAGCAAAUUGAUGCAUAUGUGCGAUUGUGGAUACAGCCAGCUUCCAGCUCACACCUCUCAUCAUGCGAAUAUUUUUUAAGCAACCUCAUCAUGCGAAUAUACUACUGUGUAGAAGCACAAGCAGUGGCACAUGGACGAAAGGGCCAUGUUUGGAUGUUACAGUUUGUUAAAGCCAUGUAAAAAAUCACAGUUUUUUCCUUAAAAGAUCAUAGUUUUAAAAAUCAAAACCAUGUAAUACCAUAAUAUUUUUUAAGUAUAGUUUUUCUCUGUUUUACAAAAAUCAUGACGUAAGUUUGGGGAGUGUUGACACGGCAAUACUGCGCUUUCAUAUAAAGACUGGCUGUGUGGACCCGUCACCGUACCCGUGUAUAUGCGUGAGCUAUCUAUUAGUAUUAUUUUACCCCUAAUUCCUAAGACAGUACUCCUAAUAUAUAUACAAGGACUAGUCACAAACUUAACACUAUCCUCGUUAAUCGAAUCAUUCUUCUUGCUGACCACGGUAUCUUGCUGAGAGAUGAUGACGCUCCAUCAUGGAAACAAGAAAUUUGGUUUGUGCAUCCCUCCAGCAUGCAUACUCUUGGCUUUCAAAACUGCAAAAAUCCCCGAUGUCCCCUCAAACAAAAAAUAUCUGAGACCAUGCACUACCAGAAAAUGGAAGAUUCCUGACGGUUUGCGUAUCGUCAGGAACUAGAGAGUAAUCCUGUCGGAUCAGAAAAACCAUCAGGAAAGAUCUAGACUACUCAUUAGUAUAGUUUUUCCUACUACUUAUUAUCGCAACUAAUUCCAACUUGUUGCAAGUUUGCAACAAAGCUCUGAAAGCAAAAACAAGUUGGCAAAAAUUAAAUAACCCACGUGGAAGUAUACACGAAACAGUGCAAAAACUACAAAAGUUAUAUGGGACAGAAAAAUUUACAUAGACAGAAAAAUUAAACUAUUUACAGAAAAUCAAAUACACCGUAUAUCUAAAAUCAGUCCAUCUUGCUAGCGAUUAUGGGGCAAUAAUCGCAAGUACUCUCACCUUUUAAAAUAAAGUAUUUACCAACAAACCACCCAAUGCAACACACGAUCUAGCUAGGUACUCACUAUGAUUAAAAGACACAAACAAUUAAUAUAAACUCCUAAGGACGAAAAGGAGCAAAACAUCUCAAGAAAAAGAGCAAACGACACAUAAACUGUGAUAUAAAGUAAAUAAGAAAUUAGAAACAAUUUAGGACUCGUUCGGUUACUCUAGAAUGAGUCCGUGGAACGAUUCCUGGGUGGAAUGGUUUACUAAUUUGUAUAAUCUUGAUAAGUUGGAUUGGUUCCCAGGUCCAAUCCUAACUAAUCGAACGGAUCCUUAGAGAGAACGAAUUCGAAAGGAAACAAAACUGCCAGAACACAUUGAAUGAUACGCACAACACAUCUCGCUAUAAUAAACAGUCAAUGAUCCUUCAUCUAAGUAGUAGAAAAACUGAGAUCGAUCUUUACAUGAUAUGUAUCUAUAUCUAAUAUGGUGGUUUCUUCCAACCGUCGUGGUUGUUUUGCAAAAAGAAUUCCUCAAUUUUUUUAAUCAACCCGCAGUCCUAGAGUUAAACUACCGUAGUUCGUUGACGAGUUGAAAAAAAAUAUCUCGCAUUUUUCGUAAUCGACCUGCCACCCUAAUAGGAGCAUGAACUUCUUGCUGCGGUCCAGUCAAACAGCCCAGCAGUUCCGAUCCAUCUCCUCUGUUUCCCAAGCUCCUCACCGUGCCGCACUAGUGGCGCGACACGGAGCUCCGAUCUCGCCAUGCACGGAUGCUAUCGCCCACUGCUGCACCCGUGCGCGCUGCCCUGAUCUAGCGCCGACUUUCUUGGAAGUGGUUUGCUGUGAUCUCACAUAUAAUCUGCGCAGCAGCAAAGCAUAAACUGUUGUCGUAGCAUUCUACCUAGCACAGACGCAAAGUGCGGCAUCUCCACCCUGCUGCUUGCUGCCGACACUGACCGCAGGCCAUCACAAGUGCCUGGCAUCCACCUAACAUUACUGAUGCAGUGGUGCUGCCUGGAGUGCUCGUUGGUACUAUGCUGCUCGGAGUAUGGUCAAGCUGGUUCAGUAAUUGCUAGAUGAAUUUGCAUACGGUAAAAGUUUUAAAUUUAGAAGUGGCCCAGCAAAUUCUAAUCAAGGGUAAUCAUUUAUUUAGCAUUGCUUUUUUUAUAGGUUGAAAAGUUUAGUGGGUAAUACGUCUGUAAUAACAUGCUAAUGUAUAAAAAGCUAAAAUUGGAGUUGCAUGCAUACUGAAUCUAUAUACCAGAAGCUUCAAUGUAUGUUUAAAUCUGAUGUUGAGUACAUUAUAAAUUAAAUAAUGGCAAAACAACCUAGACAGCCUAAGGACUGCUCUACAAUCUUGCACGCUGAACCUCCUUAAUUUAAUCAGAAUUGCUAAUUUAAAUUUUAACUUAGUGAUUAUAAUACAGCCGGAGAACGAGCCGAGGAUCAAAUACAAAUUUCAUGGAGCACUCUAAUACUAAAAUUGCCGGAUGAUUGGACCAACAUACAUUGUGAUAAUAAAUUAAUUGCGAUUUCAAUUGUGCACACCAAAGUUACAUUUAUUAGUACGAAGAUUUUAGGAAAAUAUGAUAGAUAACUUAGGAAUUAAAAAAGGUGAAGUAUCAUAUCAUCCAGUUACAUCGAGAACUUCCGUAUUCUUGUGAUACCAUCUGGUAUGAAAUCUAUGAACUUUUCUCCUUGUGAUAGCUUAUCUACUUGUUUAAUUUCCCUUGUGCAGAAUUUCGGGAAGGAGAAGAAGAAAAGUGAUAUAGCACCAUGAAACAUGAAGUGGGAAUAAGUAGAUAAUUAUUUUAGAAAAAGUAAAGACCCGUUGCAACGUACGAGCACUUUUGCUAGUAAUAUAUAUACGCGGAAAGUACAACGACACACACAAAAAUCACCGUGGCCGGCCAGCUAGCUAGGCGUCACCGCCGGCAUGGCAACCGCCAUAUGAUUCGUCACGGCGACGAGAUCGGAGAGCGCCCUGAGGAGCUCGAUCCUCGCCCGGAGCCGCACGAUGUAGUCGGUGGUGCGGAGGAGCAGCCGGUCGGCCGGCACCGCGUUGCCGCCGGGCACCAGCCGCCGCAGCUCCCGGACCUUCCGGUCCAUCGUCUCCGCCGCGCGCCGCCGCCGCCGCCGGCGUCCUUGGCACGGCGAGCGCCGCCUCUCCUCCAUAUGCUGUAUCUGGCAACAGCUAGCUAGCGUGUGCCGGAUGAAAAUCGUACGUGCGCGACGACGUGUGUGGUGUACGUGGGAGAAGCUGAGCUGGUGGAAUAAAUAGAGGCAGGAGGACCUCUUCCGGGGAGAUGAAAGUUUCGGUAGGGGGGUGGGUGCAAAAGGGCCGGUGAGCUGUGGCUUGUCGCGUAGCGUGGGGCCCGUGCGUGGACGCCACCACGGCUUGUCCUGCACACGUGUCUGACAGCUCCCCCGAUCGCCCCAGGACCGGGGGGAUUUAGUGCCUGAUCUUUUUAUUCCCGUUCUGCCCCUCCUCCUUCAUCGUAACCCGACCCUUCUUCUUUGUUUGGACUUUGGACCUACCACACUGGUAUCCAGGUUUGCUGGAUUCGGGGUGAAUCAUCAAUGCUGGUGCCCUGCCCUACGUUUCGAUUAUAAGAAGAUCGAGUUGAUGUCAGCCAUGAUCUAUGGCAUCAAACAGUGGAGGUUGCUCUUCCUCUAUGUCAUUGUUGUCGUACCAUGAGAUGGCUAACUGAUAAUAACUAUAGAAGAAAAAACGUAAAUGGUGAUGAAUUAUAAAUUUAAUAUAAUUAUUUUUAUAAGGUCAAUCUUAGCGUACAGUUUCAUUACACUAAUAUUCUUAUAUUGUUAUAUUGGUAGCUAAAUCUGUUUGGUGUCUUGAGGAUAAAAGUCCCCUCUCAUAUGUUCGCAUAAGAACUAGUCAGCAAAUUUGCUGAGUUGUCAUAUAGUUUAAUGUCCAUGAAAUUUGUCAUGGAACCCAUUAACACUAGCCUAAUAAUUGUACUAGUAAAUGAUAUGUUUGGAGGGAAAAGUUCUUUAUCUAUACUAUCUAUACUAUAAAGAUCCAAAUCUAUAUAUCCAAAACAAUUGAAAACACUUCUCACUCAGAGUUACACCCCCGUACCCCUCAUAGAGGACUCACUUGAUAGGUCUGGAGGGGUACCAAAGUUUUGAGGAGGGGUCUAAAAUAGUUCUGCCUUUUUGCCAUUUCUUUUUUCACCGUAAAAGAAUUCUACCCACCUGCGUACCCACCUCAUCCCACCCCAUUAAUUUUGCAUCCACAUCACCGUACCCCCCUUCACUUGCCAUGUUUGGUGCUUACAUGGUCGUCCCGCCCCUCUAAUUUUGCAUCAAGAUUUUUUGUUCAUGAUUUUUCCUCCACGAGAUCGUCCGACGUCCACACCUAUGCAUGUUAAUUACGAUGACUAGAAAAGGAAGCUUAUUCACGUUGUUUCCUAUUGCUUGAAAUCUUGUCACGUUGUUUCCUUUUCUUUUUGGUUGGUGGAUCACGUCAUAAUAUUGUUUUCUUCUACUUGAAUCACAUCGAGAAUGACAUCUCCUUUUGGGCAGCCAUUGCUGUGCGCCUCCAAGCCGUAUUCGGUGAUAAUUGGCAGCCAUUGCCGAUUGACGCCUCCAAGACAUAGACCUCCAUGUCCGGCUUGUCGAUCCUACCCCAACACACAGAUGCCUCCAAGUUCGUCUUGCCGGCACAUCGGCAACAAGCAGGCCAACAUCGCAGUAAAUUGACAAAGAGCAUGCCAACAUCACAGUAAAUUGAAGGCAAGGUCAGGCCCUCCACGCUAUUCUCGAUGUCCUUUUGUUUAGCCUUUCUAGAGUUUACAAUUCAAAUGUUUUUUAUUUUCAGCACCUUUUCGACGCCAUUGGCCAUCAUCCUGCUAACUUUCUACGAUCGCGGCUGGCUUCUGGUUCAUGGUUGCUAUGAUGAGCUUGUAUUGUGUGUAUGAGGUGGCAUGGACGAAAUCACGAAAAGAUCGGUACCAGUUCCUUUGAUGACCACAUGCUUAAUUUGACACCCAAAUAAUGUUUUGUGCCUCCUUACUACCACAGAUGAUUAGUGUAAUAAACCACCAUUAGAUUGAUUAAGUCUCAUGAUCUCAUCCCUCUCAUCUCGCAAGGAGAGGAAAGUUGAGCCACCGUUCCUAUUUUUCCUGUCUGUGUUUUCCUUCUCUGAAUUUUUUUUUCAAAAUGCGGUGAGCUGAACUUUGAGUAUCACAACUUUGCUGAUAACAAGACACACUGAAUGCGUCCACACCCUUAUUUGAGUUUUCCAACAGUAAAUAAUCAACUAUUUGUUUUUUCAGUUAAACACGUGUGAGCAUAUGAAAGUUCCCCUUUCGUUCCACGAUUUUACAUGAGAGGGAUAUAGAAGAAUUAGGCUAUAUACUCCUGCAGAAAUAUAUAUGACUGUGGUUUGGCAUACUGUGAUAAUACUUUACAUUAGAAUAGUCCUUAUUAAUAUUUUUUCUUCUAUAUCUCUAUGCCUGCUGUAAUUGAUCAAUGACUUGAUAAUUCAUUUAUGAGAUUGUGCAAUGUAAUUGUAUUGGUGCGAUUGGUUGUCGUUCCUAUGUUCUUGAUUAUACUUCCUGAAGGUUGCAGACACAUCAACCUCCUCAUCGGUGAACCUUUUCUUACAACCAUAGCCAGGGCCUCCUUGUUUGAUUUAUUAUAGGGUUUAUUGUAGCUCCUCUCUAUGCGCUCGGUGCAUGCCCACACCAGAGUAAGUAUGACCUUGCAAUUGGUUUUACAUGCAUGAUGUACUGUAAUACUUCUUUGAGACUGUGUGAAUUGUCAAUCUGGUAAGAUCAUGUCGGUCUAUUUUUUUGUUUCUCCAGUAAAGUUAGGACAUGCAUCAUUCUAGAUGAUUAUUUUGCUACACAGUUGAGGCAAAGAAAAUAAAUAAAUAUAGUGAUUAAUUGUUGCGAAACACUUCCAGAUUAAUACUAUUGUGAAAUUGCAUUAAAAAAAAUACUUGCCAACUGAUUGCUACUUUGUGUGGUUUUGAACAACUAGCUUAGUGAUGUAUGAGCGUGUACGUGCCAAUUUUUCCUUGUGGUGAUGUGGAUUGGCUCGGUGAUUCUGAUACUACAACUUUUCGUUUCAGGUUUGGAAGUCAUCGUUGUAGCUGACAAGCAAAUAAUGCAGAGCUAAUACAUAGAGAAAUUUGAAGAUUUCAAAAUUUGGGACAUGUAGUUCUGUUUCAGACACUAUCUUGGCAUUGACUGAAUAUUAACAUGUGCUCCGUAUAGAUGGCAACGGGCACAUUACCCGCGGGUAGAGGGUUCACAAACCCGCACCCACGAGGCAAACCCUGUGCCCGCACCCACGCCCGUGACCCGCACCUGUCACUCACGGGCACAGUGUACCCACGGGCACACCCGUACCCGCCAGCAAGAUCACAAAUUCACAGUUCACAAACCAGUACAGAUCACAGAUCCAAUGCACAACAACACAAGUUCACAAAUAUGGUUCACAAAUAACAGUUCAAAAAUAUGGUUCACAAAUAACAAUUCACAACUAUUGUUCACAGAUUAUUCAACAUCUUAAUAACAAGAGUACAAGGCAAAUAAAUAUGGUUCAACAAGCACAAGUGACAAGUCUAGAACAACACACACAUGGCUCAAAUCACACAAGUAUUGUUCACAUAACAGAUACAAAUGAACAACAAGCUUAAUCAGAGUUGACAGUAGAGAUGCAAGGUUCUUCCUUCAUUUCUUCUUCAAUGUCUUCAAGGCAGGACCAAAAGGUGUCAAUCUUUCCAUCAUCUUGACCUACAAAUGCACAUUGGAAUAAGAAGACGUCAUUAGUAAGCUGCUUCCAUAAGAUCAUUAGAAUGAGAUGACAACAUUGACAAGCUGUAGGAAUCAAAAGCAUAACUCUUUACCUUUAAGAUUGUGACGGAACCAACUUUGGCUGCACAUCAAAGCUUCCAACAUUUGUGGAGUAAGACGGCUGCGAUGCUCACUUAGAACCCUCCCACUAGUGCUAAAAGGUGAUUCAGAAGCUACUGUGGUUAUGGGAAUUGCCAAAAUAUCAUGAGCAAUCAACCUCAAAGUAGGGAAGCGAGUUCCAGCCACCUUUUACCUUCCACCAACCCAAGACAUCAAAGUACUCAUUCUCAUCAUGAGGAAGAGGAUCUUCGUCCAAGUACCGAUCUAACUCACUCUUUGCUUUAACAAGACUUGAGGUCUUCUUAGUGGCAGCAAGUAUUCUGAAUAUGGACAGAACAACAGCAACACUAACAGUAGAGUUUGAAGCCCCAUAAGAUGAUGUACCCACAACCUCUUGAUCAAUUUGCACUUGGUACUCAUCCAUCAAUUGAGUUAGCAAUUCAUAGCUCUUUUGACAAUAUCUAUCUGCUUCUUCUUGACCCAAAAGAGCCAUAUAGCACGCUUGCAACAUGAUCAUCUUAAGGCAUGGAUCAAGAAUAACAGCAACAGCCAUGAGACCUUGGAUAUCAUACCAAUACUUAUCAUAGUUCUCUAUCAUUGCAGUGGACAUGUUUCUAAUGAUCUCAUUUUCAUCUUCUUUCCAAGAGUUAAUUUUAGGUUUGAUCUCACAUACUUUAGGAAAGAAGAUAUUAGCUGUCACAUACUUUGUUCCAGAAAACAAUUCAGUGAGCUGAUAGAACACUUCUAAUUUCUUACAAACAAUAGCUGCAAAUUUCCAAUCAUCAUUUGGUGGGCAAACAAAGUGUUGUUCAAGAGUGCCCAAAUGAUCAAAAACCUUCCUAUAAGGUAUAGCAGUACUAAUCAUGAUAAAAGUUGAAUUCCAUCUAGUUUUGCAAUCAAGAUAUAGUUUUUUCUUCAAUUCAACCUUCUGUUGUUGAGCUACUUUCACAAAUUUUUCAUACCUCUUUGGUGUAGCAAUCCAAUAAGCACUACGCUCUCUGAUUCUUGCAAUAGAUUUCUUGAUCAUUUCCAAUCCAUCUUGUACAAUGAGGUUCAAUAUGUGCGCACAACAACGGGUAUGCAAAUGCUUUCCACCUAGCAACAUAUUACCCUCCCCAAGCCUUGAUUCCAUUAGACCAAUCAUGCUGUCAUUGACACUGCAAUUGUCAAGUGUCAUAGUGGACACCCUGCAAUCAAGAUCCCAACUCUGGAGGCAUUUAAGUAGUACAUCACAAAUAACUUCAGCAGUAUGGGGGCAUGGCACAUAUACAAACCUGGAAAAUACAAUUGAAAUAAGUUGGAGUAAAAGACAAAUAAGACAACAACUAAUUCAAGUACAGGACAAAUAGGACAGCAACUAAUUCAAGUACAAGACAAAUAGGACAACAACUAAUUCAAGUAAAACACAAAUAGGACAGCAACUAAUUGAAGUAAAACACAAAUAGGACAGCAAGUAAUUGAAGUAGGACAGCAGGAAAUCACCUCAAAAUGCAGCUUCUAAGGGUCCAUGAGUCAUCAAUAAAAUGUCCAGUGACAGCCAUAUAUCCUCUUUUCUAAUUAUCAGCAGUCCACAGGUCAGUUGUAAUGGCUACAUGACAACUGAGCUUCUGAAGAAACAUCCUAGCUUUUCUUUUCUCCACAUCAUAGCAGUUCAGGAUGCCCUUCCUAAUAGUGUUUCUAGUUCCUAUCUUGAAUAAGGGUUGCAAAGCACUAACAAAUUGACCAAAACCAAGAUGAUCCACAAUGGACAGAGGGUACUCAUGCAGUGUAAUCAUCGUGUAAAGUGCUUUCCUAGCUACAUCUUGAUCAAACAUAUAAUUUUCAACAGCUACUGCACCCUUGUCAGUGGAUGCAAACCUCAAAUUUGCUUGCAAUUUGUCACCGGGCUUCUUCCUAUAGAUGCAGAUUUUCAGAUGAGUACGCAGAUGGUUAGUACCAUUUGUUGUUGUAGCUGAAAGCUUCUUGCCACAAUGGUUGCACUUUGCCUUCCAAACUCCAUCAUCAUCACAAACUUGUGUGAAGUCCUUCUGUACAGCAGAUGUGAGCUUCCUAUGCGAACCCUGUGAGUGAGUUAAACCAACAGUACAAUCUUCGGCCUCACGAUCAUCAACUUCAUCAUCAAUGGCGAUAACCUGAUUACCAGGGAGAGCUCCGUCAACAGGGAUGGAAGCCUGCGAGACCUGCUCAGGUUGGACACUACUCCCAGGAGUCCAACAACAUGACACAAGUUAACUACCUAUCACUAGAAUAACAGAUCUAGCAUACUAAUGGCAACAACAACUUCUAACCAUCCAAAUUGAACCAAAAAAGCUACUGACAAUCACAAAAAUAGCUACUGACAAUCACAAAAUCAUUCAUUCAUUCUAGACCGAACACUGCCUAUCACAGAUCACAAAAUCAAUGGCAAGGCAGAAGUGUAGUUCAUGGAUCUAUCGUUCUACUGAAUAGAGAAUGAAGAAAAAGUGAGUGGACAGUGGACUGACCUGGGGGCGGCGACAGGGGCUGCAGGCGCCAGGCGGAGUGGCCUCGCUGGCGGGCGGCGGAGUGGCCUCGUUGGCGGUAGGCGCCGAAGUGGGCGGCGGGUGGCGAACCGGGUGGCAGCUGGAAGGUGGGCGGGCGGAGCAGUGGCGGCGGGGAGGUGGUGGCGGCGGGAGCGAGGGAGAGUGGAGUGGUGGCCGCGGGGAGGUGGCGGCCAGCGGGAAGCGAGGGCCGAGGACGGUCGGCGGUCGGUGGGGAACUGGCUGCGGCCUGGGCGCGAGGUGUGGGAGCGGCCUGGCGUGCGGGAGUGCGACCGUGCAGGCCUGCGGGGGACCCCGCCGGGGCCCAGGGUGCGGGGGAGGACAAGGGAUUAAGGGGAUUAGGGAUUGAGGGGAACCCUAGAAAAUCCUUUAUAUACUUGUGCGAAGGCCCACAUGUCAGGCGGGUUCGCGGGCACGGGUAAGGUAUUUUUGUACCCACUAAUUUUUUACCUGCAGGCACAAACUCAAACCCGCACCCGUGCCCGUGGGUACAAAAUGGCACCCGUACCCUCGUCCUACCGGGUUUUUGCAAGCGGGCACGUGGGUAAUUUGUACCCGUUGCCAUCCCAUAGUGCUCCGUGACCUGGUGGGAUCUGCAACUGAAAGUAAGUAUCUUCCUUUGGAGAUGGUGAUCGGCAAGAAAUAAAGCAAUCCUGGGGAGAGAAUUUGGAAAACUGAAGUUUGAUCGAGAUUGAGAGAAAACAGACUCAAACCCAAGCUAAAUGGAGUCCACUGUAUGAGGGAACAUAGCAGAUCAAUAUUGAUGCAGCUUUUUUUCUCCCAAGGAGAUGAAUUGGGUUGGGGUUUUGUGGCAAUAGAUACUCUGGUUUUGAGAUGGUACAGAACAAAGCCCUGGAGUUUAUAUACAAAUUAGUAACUGGUGAUAUGCCUGGAUCGGUUGUUGCUUAAUGGAAGUUAUAUUCGUUUCAAAAAACUAAUACACAAGCUUUUGAAAAGCGACUUUAUACUUUCUAUUUGGAUGAAUUUUCCAAAUUAAGCUUCCUAAAAUAAGUAUUUUUACUAAAUUUUUUUUCUAAAAACACGUGCGGCGCACGUGCACUUUACUAGUAAAGUGAGAGAUAAUGAUCCAAGGAGUUAGAGGAGGCAAGGAAGAUUGUGUUUGUAGUUGAAAAUCAAUCUUAGUAUUUAAAGUAACCGUUCCCUAUCAAUAAAAAAAAUUACUCCCUCGUUUCAAAUUAUAAAUCAUUUUAACUUUUCUAAAUUCAUAACUUUUGUUAUACACCUAGAAAUAAAUUAUAUUUAAAUGUAUAGAAAAAUUAUGUAUCCAGUAUCAAAAUGACCUACAAUUUAAAAUGGAUGGAGUAUUAGCUAGCCCUUAAUGCAUCCCGACACAGCUAUGGAUUCGAAAAAACCAUCAAGCUUUAGGGGGUGUUUGGUAGCAUUCCACUCCACCAAAAACAGCUCCACUCCACCAACUCCACAAAAGUUCCUACCAAACAUGUCCAGCUCCACAAACUCCAGCUCUAGGAAAAAACAUGGAGGUAAAGGUUAGAUAUAUCCACGAUUUUUUAUACCUCAAGAGGUGCUCAAAAAUAAUAGUUUUAGACCUCCUCAUGAAGGAGUGGGGUAAUUACCCACCAUGCCACUGGUCACACGAUACCGGUUUGCAAAAAAAGAAAAGAACUCACCGGAAUGCGCCACCGGCGCAUGCCUGACCGCACUGCCCCCACCCACAGGACAACAUGCCACCAAUGCCAGUCGGGGCACGCAUCGCCGCCGAGUGCCUUGGUGCCCUCCUCCGGCAGAGUCAUCGACGAGCAGAGGAGCAACAGGAGGUCAUCGACGAGUCGAGGUCAAGCUCUUCGGAGCCUUGCCGUCACUCGCCGGGGCUGCGCGUGCCGCCGCUGCUCGCCGACCGAGCUGCCGCGCCGUCCGCUGCCGUGCAAGCUCCCGUGCCGUCCGCCACCACGCGUCGGGCCUUGGUCGUUGGCCCCUCUGCGAUGUCGCUGCCUCCUCCCCGCAUCUGGUAGCCGACGGGCGCGCCGGCCCGCGCUGAUAUGAACCCGCUAGGGUUGAUUCCCAAUCUUUCGAUGAGAGGCGUGGGAUAACUCAAUUGGUCAAUGGAGACGACGUUCACGGCCCGACUACAGCCUUCCAAGCUGCGCCUUAGCAACCAAUACACCACCUCCAAUGGCUGCCGCGAUCUUGUGGAGCGUGUCACCCGGCCACUAGGGCACUCGUCCUGCAAGCAAUCGAAGAACUAGCAAGAACAAGUAUAACAAGUACUGAAUUUACUAGAUGAAGAUGAAGGUUUUCAACUCAAUCUCAAUAAGGUGGGGUUCCGAAGAUAGGAAGACGGGCGGCUGAUCCGGCACGCGCGCUUACAAGCAAGUAGCGAGAGCUAAACUUGAUCUAAACAAAACCCAAUCUGUUUGUGGCGGCUCUAAUCCUUAUUAAUGCCUAGGAGGACGACCAGGAGGGUGUUGGGGUCGUGCUCCAACCCUAGGACAUGUCCCUAAUGGAUCCAACUUGAUACACGGCCCAUUGGGCCAAAAUAAGGUGACGCAGCACCAGAAAACCUAUCGGUAGUAAAUUGGUCAUUGCGACCGUCUCAGACCAGAUAUAGACUUGAGUCCAGAUCCAUAUGAAAAUAGACUUCAUAAUGAAUCCGUGAAGUACUUGAACGCCCCAAUCCGUGUCCGUAUGCGACCGUGGUGACCAUCACAAGUUGGUACUGUCCUGGAGUCCGAAUCCAGCCUGCGCGAGUCCGUUUCCCUUUCGGUCUUCUCCAUGAUUCCUAACCAAAACAAGAGUGCACGCGUCUCCAUGGUCUAAAUAGGAUUGAUAGGAACUCAAGAGUGAACUUACUUGAUGAUUAAGUUGACGAGCACGGGCGCGAGUUAUAGGACCAGAAACUGGUACUUAUGUAGGUGUGGAUGUAUCGUUGGUGUUGAUGUCCUCAUCAUCCUCCCCUUCUUGCAUUUGAGUCGUCCUCGAUGCAAGCUCUUCUUCUUCUCCCAAAUAUGGCUUCAAAUCUGCAAUGUUAAAUGUGCGACUAGCCCCAAAAUUGGCAGGCAGAUCGAGCUUAUAUGCAUUAUCAUUAACUUUCCCCAACACUUUAAAGGGUCCAUCAGCCCGAGGCAUCAAUUUAGACUUUCGCAAUUCAGGAAACCUAUCCUUUCUCAAGUGCAACCAAACUAAGUCACUAGGUUCAAAUAUUAGUUCCUUUCUACCUUUAUCACUGGCAAACUUAUAUUUAGCAUUCAUACGCUCUAUGUUUUCUUUAGUUGUUUCAUGCAGUUUUAACAUCAAUUCAGCACGCUUAGUAGCAUCAAAAUUUAAUUUUUUAGAAGAUGGCAAAGGCAUCAAAUCAAUAGGAGCACGAGGCAAGAAACCAUAUACAAUCUGAAAUGGGCACAUCUUUGUAGUAGAAUGCAGCGAACGAUUAUAAGCAAAUUCAAUGUGAGGCAAACAAUCUUCCCACAUCUUAAUGUUCUUCUUUAAAACAGCCCGUAACAUAGUAGACAAAGUUCUGUUGACAACUUCAGUUUGACCAUCAGUUUGGGGAUGACAUGUAGUAGAAAAUAAAAGCUUAGUUCCUAGUUUGCCCCAUAAAGUCUUCCAAAAAUGACUAAGAAAUUUAGCAUCAUGAUCAGAAACAAUGGUGUUGGGCACACCAUGCAAACGAACAAUUUCUCGAAAGAACAAAUCAGCAAUAUGGGUAGCAUCAUCAGUUUUAUGACAUGGUAUGAAAUGUGCCAUUUUAGAAAAUCUAUCAACAACCACAAACACACUAUCACGGCCCUUCCUAGUCCUUGGCAAACCCAACACAAAAUCCAUAGAAAUAUCUUCCCAAGGAGCACUAGGCAGGUAGAGGCAAAUACAAACCAUGUGGAUUUAAUCGUGACUUAGCCUUUUGGCAAGUUGUGCAACGAGCAACAAACCUCUCCACAUCUCUUCUCAUCUUUGGCCAAAAGAAAUGACCAGCAAGGACGUCCUCCAUUUUCUUCACUCCAAAAUGCCCCAUCAAGCCACCUCCAUGCGCUUCAUGUAGCAAUAACAAACGAACGGAGCUAGCUGGAAUGCAUAGCUUGUUAGCUCUAAACACAAACCCAUCACUAACGAUGAAUUUGUUCCAUCCUUUUCCAUCUUUGCAAUGCAGCAACACAUCUUUAAAAUCAGCAUCAUUAACAUAUUGGUCUUUAAUUGUUUCUAAUCCAAAGAUUUUGUAAAGUUGAUUCAGCAAAGUAUAUCUCCUAGACAAAGCAUCAGCAAUAACAUUCUCUUUCCCUUUCUUGUGCUUAAUAACAUAAGGAAAAGAUUCAAUAAAUUCAACCCACUUAGCAUGUCUACGGUUCAGAUGUCCUUGACUACGAAUAUGUUUCAAAGAUUCAUGAUCAGAAUGAAUAACAAACUCUUUGGGCCACAAAUAAUGCUACCAUGUUUCUAAUGUGCGAACAAGAGCAUAAAAUUCCUUAUCAUAAGUAGAAUAAUUCAGAACAAGCCCGCUCAAUUUUUCACUAAAAUAUGCAACAGGUUUGCCUUCUUGUAACAAAACACCACCCAAUCCAAUUCCACUAGCAUCACAUUCAAGCUCAAAAGUCUUAUUAAAAUCAGGGAGUUGGAGGAGGGGUGCAUGUGUCAACUUAUCUUUUAGCAUGUUGAAGGAGUUUUCUUGUACUUUGCCCCAACUAAAAGGCACUCCCUUCUUCGUGAGCUCAUUCAAUGGUGCAGCAAUGGUGCUGAAGUCCUUCACAAAACGGCGAUAGAAACCAGCAAGUCCUAGGAAACUCCGCACUUGCGUGAUAGUCUUCGGUAUAGGCCAUCCCUGUAUAGCUUCUACCUUAGCUUGAUCAACCUCAAUUCCCUGUGGAGUCACAACAUAACCAAGAAAAGACACUCGAUCGGUGCAAAAGGUGCACUUCUCAAGGUUACCAAAUAAACGCGCAUCUCGUAAAGCAUUAAAAACAGCACGUAAGUGAUCAAGGUGGUCAUCCAUAGAUUUGCUAUAAAUCAAUAUAUCAUCAAAAUAGACCACAACAAAUUUUCCAAUGAAAGCACGAAGAACCUCGUUCAUUAAUCUCAUGAAAGUACUAGGUGCAUUAGUUAACCCAAAAGGCAUGACUAACCACUCAUAUAAACCAAAUUUAGUUUUAAAAGCAGUUUUCCAUUCAUCUCCUAAUUUCAUACGAAUCUGGUGGUACCCACUACGCAAAUCAACUUUGGAAAACACAACAGCACCACUAAGUUCAUCAAGCAUGUCAUCCAAUCGUGGAAUAGGAUGUCGAUAUCGAAUGGUGAUAUUAUUGAUAGCUCUACAGUCAACACACAUACGCCAUGUUCCAUCUUUCUUAGGCACUAAAAUAACUGGAACAGCACAAGGACUAAGAGACUCAUGCACAUAACCUUUGUCGAGUAGUUCUUGCACUUGUCGCUGAAUUUCUUUCGUUUCUUCCGGAUUUGUCCUGUAUGGCGCAGUUUGGCAAAGAUGCACCAGGAAUAAGAUCAAUUUGGUGCUCAAUCCCUCGUAUCGGUGGCAGCCCUGCUGGGAUCUCACUUGGAAACACAUCAGCAUACUCCUGCAAAAUGUUAGCAACAACAGGAGACAAAGAAUGCUGCAUGUCGUGAACCGAAAUCAAAGCAUCCUUGCAUACCAAAGCAUAGGCAACAGAAGUGGAAGCAACCAAUUCAUUAAUAUCAGAUUUAGUAGCAAGCAAGCAAUGUACUUUCAAUCUUAUCUCAUCUUUCUUACUACUAACAGAUUUGACAUUUCUUUCGCUCUCGGUUUUAGUUUUCUUAGCUUUAGCAACAUCAUCACGUACAAUAGCUUCAGGAGACAUAGGAAGCAAAACAAUUUUCUUAUCAUGGUGUAUGAGAGAAUACUGAUUUGAUCUACCAUGAUGCAUACAAUCCGUAUCAAAUUGCCAUGGUCUACCUAGCAGAAUAUGACAAGCUUCCAUAGGCACAACAUCACAUUCAACAACGUCAUGAUAUGAUCCAAUAGCAAAAUUAAUUCGCACCAAUCUCGUUACCUUAACCUUACCGCUAUUGUUGAGCCAUCGAAUAUGAUAUGGAUGUGGGUGCGGUUUGGUUGUAAGUGCAAGCUUCUCCACCAUAUCGCUGCUAGCCAAGUUGUUGCAGCUACCUCCAUCAAUUAUCAAACGGCACGAACGCUCUUUAAUGACACACUUUGUUUGGAAUAGUGUAUGCCGCUGAUUUUGCUCUGCCUUCUCCAUUUGUGCGCUAAGCACACGCUGCACAAUGAGGCUCUCAUAAUGAUCUGCAUCCUCUGCACCAAUCUCUUCUUCUGGUUGUUCCUCACUACCUGCAUGGUCAGCAGCAAGCAAACCAAGUGUAUCUUCAUCAAAAUCACUAGCAGAGGAAUACCCACCAUCUUCUUUGACCACCAAAACACGCUUGCUAGGACAGUCACGCUGCACGUGUCCAAAGCCCUUGCAUCGAUGGCACUGAACAUCUCUUGUUCUACCCGUGGAUGCAACCGAAGUGGUACUAGUGGCUGGUUUCUGGGCAGUCUUGGUUGCUGAAUUUGUGGGAGGAGCACGUUGCUUGUCGCUGGACAGAGAUGGUGGUGCCAGCCGACUCGGAGAGUGAGCGGGUGGAGGUGCACGUCCGGUCAAAGAAGUAGUCGUACGUGGCUGCCAUGAUGUAGAUUUUCCUGCAGAAAUAUUAGUCUUGGUACUAGCACGUCGCCCCUGCACUUCCCUUUCAGCUUUACAAGCAAGAUGAAACAAACGGGUUAUGUUAGUAUAAUCUUUAUAAGCAAGGAUGUCCUGAAUUUCACGGUUUAAACCACCUAAAAAUCUAGCCAUAGCAGGUUCCUCACCCUCCUCUAAGUUACAACGCAGCAUACCCAUUUGUAACUCCUGAUAAUAUUCUUCUACACUUUUAGCACCCUGUCUCAAUUGUUGCAACCUAUUUAAAAGAUCACGUGCAUAGUAAGAAGCAACAAAUCUAGCUCGCAUGACCCGUUUCAAAGCAUCCCAUGUUUGUUGCAUGUUAUUAGGAUUUUUCUUGCCAUGUUCUAUCCACCAAACAGAAGCAAAAUCAGUGAACUCACUAGUAGCAGCCCUAACACGUGUAUUUUCAGGAAACUCAUGACAUGCAAACUUUUGAUCAACAGCAAUUUCCCAAGUAAUAUACGCAUCAGGAUCAUAUUUACCAUCAAAAGGAGGUAUCUUAAAUUUUAUCUUACUGAAAGCAUCAUCAUUAUUAUGUACCUCGCGUCGUCGAUAACCACCCAUACCUCUGCGAUUAUUGCGUAGUCGUCGGCGAUCAUGAGCAUCUGGGUCAUCUUGUUCAGUAUCAACAUCCCAAUUGUCCUCGACAUGCUCAUCCUUGUUGUUAUCUCCAUCAUGUCCAUUAGUGGUUUUGGCAUGCAUCUCAUCAAAUCGCCUCAAAAUAGCAGCAAGGCUUUUGUCAAUACGAGCGACUGACGUCUCCAGCCCUGUAAGCUUGGUGUUGGUGGCAAGCUGCGUGGCCUCCAACUGCCCAAUCUUCUCAUUCGUCACCUGCAAAUCAUCAUCGAGCCCCUCGACGUGCCCCUUCACUAGCUUUUCAAAAUGUUGUAUGAUGCCCUUGGUGCGGGGAGAAUGUGGCAUAUUCUGACUAUCCUCUGAUCCUGUCAUGGUUAGACAAACAAAGGCAACAAGAAAACAGGUGAAGAAAUAAAAACCCUACAGCUAUUAGGAUGUAGCUACUGCAAGGCGCUCACUCUCAACCCGUUACACAAGCUCUUACCAAUUCUUACCUUGCUCAACAGGAGGGACGGCUACCAACAAGUCUGCAACCGUGGAAUGAAGUGUAUCGGUGCCGCAACAACAGGACAUGUCAAGCUGUAGUCGAAAUAUAUGGAGCUAUAGGUGGGCUGAAGCAAGGAAGUACUAGAACCACGUUAGUUGGAAGCAAAUUGAACAAACGCUCAACGACGUUAUUGUGCUGGUCCUAGGCUAGUACGUGCUAGAGACGCGAGCCUGGACACAAACGAAGUCACUAAGCUGCAGCAAGGAAGGAUCACAAGGAGAGGAAAAAAACAACAAAAGAAAAACCCUUCUCUUCUUUCUUUCUUUCUUUCUGUUUUUCUUUUCUUUCUUUCUUUCUUUCUUUUUUUUUCUUUUUUUUUCAAGUAGCACCGAGCUCAAAUUUUGCAACAAGAGAUAACACGCUACUUACAGCAAUUAAAUAUUUCCUUGGGAAGGGUGAUUCAGUAGCAAAGUCAAACAAGUGGCUGUUUUGCAAAUCCAGCAGAUACGCAAAUCUCCAGGGUGAUUCCGAAGUGCUCAAAAAGAAUUUGGGACCAAGGAUAGAUCCGUUGGAAAGAGGAUAAGUUCAGGUUUCCAGAUUGUAUUCAAACUCCCUAUUCGGAUUCCUUAUAAUGGAAAUAUGGUGCUUUUCUUUUCAGGAUAAAACAGGACUCCGAAUCGAAUUCUGAUUUGAAAUUGUGGGAUUUCCUUUUUGGAGAUGGAAGUAUGGACGUGGAUGAAACCUCCAUGGAUGUGGUUUGGUUAAUAGUGGUAAACAAAACAAAGGAAUUUGGAAAAUUCAAUCUGAUUUGUGGAGAGAAACAAAUAAACUCAAAUCUGUGAUAGUGACACAAACGUGACAAGAACUCGAAACUCUAAACGACUAGACGCUAAGACCAGCAACUUGACACGACGAUGCAACCGUUAAUUCAAUAAGCCCUAACUAAGCAGUAAUAGUAAAAGGCUUAAAGGGUUUUUUGGGAUUAUGGAGAACUAAGCUACUAAUUUUUUUGGCCUUUCCUGGACUAUAGGAAAUUAAAAACAGCAAAGAACUAGAAGUCUCUCACCGAUAAACCUUGCUCUGAUUACCAACUGAUAUGAACCCGCUAGGGUUGAUUCCCGAUCUCUCGAUGAGAGGCGUGGGAUAACUCGAUUGGUCAAUGGAGACGACGUUCACGGCCCGACUACAGCCUUCCAAGCUGCGCCUUAGCAACCGAUACACCACCUCCAAUGGCUGCCGCGAUCUUGUGGAGCGCGUCACCCGGCCACUAGGGCACUCGUCCUGCAAGCAAUCGAAGAACUAGCAAGAACAAGUAUAACAAGUACUGAAUUUACUAGAUGAAGAUGAAGGUUUUCAACUCAAUCUCAAUAAGGUGGGGUUCCGAAGACAGGAAGACGAGCGGCUGAUCCAGCACGCGCGCUUACAAGCAAGUAGCGAGAGCUAAACUUGAUCUAAACAAAACCCAAUCUGUUUGUGGCAGCUCUAAUCCUUAUUAAUGCCUAGGAGGACGACCAGGAGGGUGUUGGGGUCGUGCUCCAACCUUAGGACAUGUCCCUAAUGGAUCCAACUUGAUACACGGCCCAUUGGGUCAAAAUAAGGUGACGCAGCAUCAGAAAACCUAUCGGUAGUAAAUUGGUCAUUGCGACCGCCUCAGAUCAGAUAUAGACUUGAGUCCAGACCCAUAUGAAAAUAGACUUCAUAACGAAUCCGUGAAGUACUUGAACGCCCCAAUCUGUGUCCGUAUGCGACCGUGGUGACCAUCACAAGUUGGUACUGUCCUGGAGUCCGAAUCCAGCCUGCGCGAGUCCGUUUCCCUUUCGGUCUUCUCCAUGAUUGCUAACCAAAACAAGAGUGCACGCGUCUCCAUGGUCUAAAUAGGAUUGACAGGAACUCAAGAGUGAACUUACUUGAUGAUUAAGUUGACGAGCACGGGCGCGAGUUAUAGGACCAGAAACUGGUACUUGUGUAGGUGUGGAUGUAUUGUUGGUGUUGAUGUCCUCAUCACGCGCCAUGGCCCCGACAAUGACGGGAGUCAGCGAGCGCGGUCGCAGCUGUAGGACCCACGCCAUGGCCCUGCCGAAGCUGCCCUGUGCUGUGGCCUCGCCACCACCGCCGCCCCCAUGCCGUGGCCCUGCCGCCGCUGCCUCGUGCCGUGGCCCCAACACCGUCGCCGCCGAGUGCCUCGCCGCGUGAACUGGCUACCAGCGGUUCGAGCCUAGGCCAUCCACAACUCACCUUGCUGUACGAGUGAUCCAUGAGAGGGCAUGACUAAAAACUGCAAUAGAAAAACCAAGCAUUCAGUCAUAGCGCCAAACAUCAAGGAUUUUGCAGAUCUUCAGAUCCGGUCGAUCACGGGCUUCAGAAAACGACGAGUGAACUGGCUACCAGCGGUUCGAAGCUUCAAUGAGGAGGUCUCAAGAGACUAGAAGGGACGGAUUGGGAGGCAAGGAGCGGCCGGAGCAUGAUGGUGCCUCUCCAGCAAGCCGCACGCGCCACGGCGUUGCUAGCCUGAGCAUCGACCGUGGCUUGGGGUCCAGUUCUUGGGCCUCUGUAGUGAGGAGAUUGGCGGGGAGGCGACCAAGGCGAGCGCGAGCAAAGGAAGAGAGAGGAACAGGAGGGGAGAAGAGAGAAGAGAGAGGAACAUGAGGGGAGAAAAGAGAAGAGGAUGAUAUGUUUCUAGAGCUGGAGCACUGCAAUCAGUCAAAUACGUACUCUAUAUUUUUCUAGAGUUGAUGGAGUGGAGUUGCAAAAGUAUGGAGUUAGUGGAGUAGAGUUGUUUUUUUCUAGAGAAGAGUGGCACACCCCUUAAUAUUCCUCAGGCCGCCUCCUCCUAUCAUAUCGUUUGUACUCUCGCUGACUGCUCCAGCGUGAAACCACCAAACAAGCAAAGCCCCUGCCGCACCCGCGCGUGCUAGAUAGCGGUAAGCUUGCAGUGCCGCAUGCGACGUGGAAGAGUGAUGAAGAGCAUAUCCAAUCCAACGUGUGGGCCGAGGGGCUGGAACCCCCUACAAAUUUCAACUACAGAUGAAGAGGAGGAGGGAAAUAGAGCAAGAAGAGGAAGAUGAGCUCUCCUAGUUUUGGGUCUUGGAUCCGCCUCAAGGCAUUUUUGCUUCAAGUCCCGGCAAACCUGCCUAGCUGGCGUACGCAGCGCUCCUAGGCAUCCGGUUUCGGAUGAUCGGACGCCUACCCCGGCGGGGUCGCUGCCUUGCCGGCCAGCUGCCUGAGUAGGCCGCUGCCGCUCGCGGGGCAGGAGAGGAGGGGUACGGCGAGGCGCCGCGCGCCCGUCGCGUUGGGCUGCGACGCGACGGCCGACGGCGUACGGUUUGGCACGUAGGCGCUCGCGGCUUUCUCCAUGUGGUCGGGCCCGUCGCGUCGGCCAAUGCUGCGGCUGGCAACGGGACGAGACGGCUCACAUGCGCGCACAUGCACGCGCGCGCCGCUGCACCUACUUCCAGCUGCCGCGCGCUACGACGGCCGGCCCCUGCUGGACUGGCCUCGACCUAGCUAGUGUCUCAACCAUCAAUGGACUAGAUCGAAUUGAGCCGCCCGAUCGAUUCAAAACUAAUCGCGAAAUCUGUGCUAAUACAGCACGUAGUUGGACUAGUUCUUCGCGACACACACACAUGCCUCUGCUGGGAUCCUGGUAUUGACGCGUACCGGCCUCCAUCCGUUCCGUUUCGUCCGCCAGCCUAGCUUCGCACACACGUGUCAUGUGUGUACCUAAAAGUAUCAGGGUUUUGUGAUAUUAUAUAUAAUAAUUAUGAUAUAUAAUUACGCGAAAAUGCAGUGGUCCCAUUAAUUAGUAGGAUGAUUACUGCUCUGGUCGUGUCACUAUCCUAAACGUCAAAUACACGAAUUAAGAUUAAGGACGUGUUUGGUUGUUUGCCUCUCCAGCUCGCCUCGCUCGGUAAGGCAAGCCUUGCCAGCGCCAAGAGGCGGUUCUGGCUCACCCAACUUUUGACAUGGAAAAAAGCUCAAGUCCCGAGUUAGGUAGUUAGCUAACCAAACAUGAGUAUCAUACGCGCACAAAGUUUACCUUUAAUGGGAAUCAGCGAUCGUAGACAACUGACAUGAAGCAGGCAAUAUAUUGCUCCAUGUAGCAAUAUAAGACUUUUUUUUUCUAAUAUGUAUACCCAAGUUUGAAAGAACUUAUUAAUGAGAUCAAAGUGAAGGUAGUACGAUAAUCGAUGACAUCAGCUUAACCUAGCUUGCUAGCAUUAAUCGAGCUGGCACACUUGGGCCCUCUAUCUUUUCUUGCAUGCACGUCCUAGAUAACUAGCGAAUGAGGAUAAUAAGAUAAGAACAUCUUACUAUGUUGCACUUGCACCGUCUAGAACCCCAUCAAAGGUUAGUAUACAGUUAGUCUAAUUACUCCAUGCAUACAUAGGUCUCCCUAUUAGGUGAUACUAUAAUCCACCUCCACUAAACACAGUGACAAUCCAUUGACGAUUGCAGCUAUGCAUGGGUCUCAGGGAUGGACUCCUUGUUCAUGCUGGUUCCUUGGAGGACAUAGAAAGAGGAUAAUACUUAUAUCUUUGACAAGUUUCUGUUUUUUUCUCUAGUCCUAUCUCAUCAACGCAGGCAAAGCAAAGCUGAGCUCUAGAUCAAACCAGGCACCAAGGUGCUGUAGAUCAAAGCAUGCAUGUGCGAAAGAUCUAGGCCAUGAGCUCCAAACCUUCUUGUUGGGCUACUAUAGAGCUCACCAAGGUGUUUUUUGUUCGACUAGCAUUUGAAUUUUGAGUCAUUAGAUCUCUUAUCACAUCUCAUCCAAUGGCUCUCUGGUUCCUUUCUUUCACUAGCAAGUAGCAACCUUUCUUACCUACUACAUGCCUCCAACACCUAAUAAUUAGCCAUUGUGUCAUCCCUCUCACCCCACCAUGCCCUCCUUCCACCAUCUUCAUCAGCUCUUGUUUCCGAAUUCGUGACUACAACCUGCAAUUAACCACUCCUCAUGGACCAUCCUCUGCCACCUUUAUACUUGUUGGGGAAUUGGGUUAAGAUCGCAGGCCGAAGGGACCAUCCCCUCCAGAAGGCUUCUGAAAGCUCGGAGGUCUCCGGGGAUCCCUCGGACUCGGGAUCCAAAGGGUUACUGUUGGGUAGGAGUCCCGGGUGGAACACGGUGGAAACAGGAUCGCCGAUGAGGCCUCAAGGAUAACCAGAAGAGAAGGGUGGAAGGGCUUCCGGUCGAGUCAUUUGGGACUUCCCCGGAAUACUUUCGCUCCCCCGGAGGUGUUGCCCGUCCGGAAGAGACAGGUGAAAGGUGGGCCCUGGGAAGAGCGGGCGCAGGCCUUACGCAUCUCCUAAAAGGAGAAAAGGGGAGGCAUCCACAUCAGCCUUAGGUACGGAGGCCUACCGCGCCCUCCUCCCAUACGAAAGAUCCCCGUACGGGACCACCACGUUGGCCCUAGGUACAGAGAACCACCGUACCAGGGAAGGUUUUGACUUCAUUACCCCCACCAUCGCGUCCCAGAGAACCUAGUUUCCACUAGCUCCGUACCGGGGGGUAAAAGGGUCCUUUUCCCGAAAAGGCCUCGACCCCCAAGCCUAUAAAUAGAAGGGUUAUAGGCUCAAUCAAGUGACAACAUUCUAGCCACUCAGUCUCCUAGAAGCUCUUUGGACAAGUGCCUUGUUCUAGAGCCACCCUCUACUAUUUGGGUAUUUUGUAACCACUAACAGUUGGCGCCAUCCGUGGGAAGAGAGUGACUGAGAAGCCAUGUGGUGCCGCAGCGGCGGAAGGGGAAGGGAGCCACCAACCUUUUGAUAGAUCCCCUCCCCAUGACAACCAAUGACCCCUCCGAGACUACAUCUCCGGAGGGCAAGGCAUCUACCGGGGCUGAUCCGGAAAGGGUUGACCUAGGACGCGAUGAGGAGCUGGCGGGCAUCAGCAAUGAUGACCCAGAAGCUGAGGAAGACCCAAUGACCGGGGAGGAGGAGACAGGAGAUGCCUCCAGCCUCGAUGCCACUAGCUCCUGAGAGGAGUGCCUAACCUGGGAGGCUAAAGCGAAGGUGGAUGGCCUACAGGCCCAGCUGGAGUAGGCCCGGAGGGAGAGCGAGCAAAGGGAGGCAGCCAGUCGGGAAUCCAUCGACAAGGAGGCUCAGUGUGGCGGAACCACCUCGGAUUAGCUUGAUUAAACAGGGUUAAGCCGCCUAACAUGCGACACUCCUGCCUAACUCGAGCUAACACGAAGUGCCGUCGGAUUUCAUCCGAUUUAACCACUUAAACAGGAUCGAGUUUAGCAAACCCACACGAAGGUGAGUGGUUACAGAGAAAACAACAAGUCCACUGAGUUGAACAAGUUUUACCCAUUUAGUUCGGCCAUAAAAUCCAACACCAGAGUUUUACAAGAUUUCAAGAAAACAGCAGAGAAAACUAGCGGAAGACUUCGUCGGGGUCGGAUGUCCGGGCGAGGCCAGCCAGAACAUCACUGAGUCCUCUCUUCGCCGUCCGAGGAGGGGUCCCACUCGACCGUCCAGCCUGGCGGGAGCUGGGGCGGCCAAGCACCAACCAGAGAGGGGUCGGAAGCAGCAACUUCACCUGAAAAACAGGAGCCACAACAAGGCUGAGCUACUAAGCUCAACAAGACUUAACCGAUAGGAGUAAGGGCUACUCCUCCUUCUAGACAUGCAAGGCUUCUUGGCUGAGGGGUUUGUUUGCCAAAAGCACUAAGUAUCCCUAUUUCAGUUUUUAGCUCAGGUUCUAUGUUCAUUUACCAGUCUAGGUUGUGCAACCUAUUCUAAGCAUUCAUAGAACCAAACAAGAGGUGUAGAUAUAACAACAACAUUGCCAUCAUCAGAUUCCUCACUUACUCAGGGUGACAUAGCGAUCAAGCAAUCUCAAACUGUGAGAGGCAGACGAAUCGAUUAGAGUUCUUUAACCAUGCAUGGUGAACCUAGCCUCACGACAUCCGCGCACCCGGAGGUCGCUUCCUGUGUCGGCCUUCCCCAUCAAUCCCCUAACCCGUGUCGGGCCCAUUUCCUUUGGUGCAAGGUUCCACAGACCCGGCCUCUGCCGUCCUGUGACCACGCAUUGCCACCACGUGCGACAACCCGCAGGGGAAACUCCGUUCCAAGAACAAUGGGGCGACCGCUCACGUCUAGGUUCAAUCCGGUACUAGGCUUCCUCAUCCCAUACUAAGUAUGAGGCUAGUACUUUCAAACACUCGAUCACGAACACCACCACUGUCGGGCCUUAGCAAGAUUUCAUAGACAGACGGGGCGACCAUCCGACCACCAAAGAGUUACCCAAAACCCUGCCCCGUCCAUCGUCCUUAUAGUUAUAACAGGAGAGUAAACAUGCAACUCCUAUAACUCGCGAGUGACAGGAAAUCACUCGGCUUUUACCGUUUUUCUAGUUAAGCAAGGCAACUACUCGGUCCAACAGCUAGUGCUCGGAUCAUGGGUCACUGAGUCAUGCAUCUAGGGUUUCACACAACUCCUAUACGUAAAUGCACAAGCAUGUUACAGAAGGCAUGCGCAAGUCUGGUAAAACAUAUAGGACUUUCAUGCAACCGGGGCUUGCCUUCAAGCAAGGAGGACAGAAACUGCUCGACUUCGGGGGCGACUUCGGCUUCGGAGGGCAGGAGCUCGGCUACAGCUUCUUCUUCUGGCGCCGGGUGAAGCUCGUAGAAACCGUCGGCGAGGUGCAGCUCUACACGAAUGCAAUGCAAGGGUUAGCUUAGACGGUUACUUCAACAGCAACACUGGCUCACCUGAGCCCAGAAACUUGCGACAAAGAGCAGGAGGUUAUGGUGGUUCGAGAGAGCUGAUGGUGAUCAAGAGGUAAAUGCAGGAAAGGAAAUAGUGGUCUGAUCCUCGAACUAGAGGAUGUGAUAACUGGGAUCCUUAGACGCAAGCGCGGAAGGGUUCCCAAGUUUUACACAUACACCCUCGAGUUGAAGAAAAAGAUCACAGCCAAGCCCUCGGGCGAGGCGGAUAAGGGUCGGCAGAACAGACAGGGUCGGUCGAGACGGAACUGGGGUCGGGCGGAUAGGAGGGGUCGGGCGAGGCGGACUGGGGUCGGCAACUCACCUUCUUCCUGAAAGGAAAGCUUGGGGUCGGGAAGAAGCGGUCUUGGGCGGAGGGACUAAAGCUUCGAGCAAGGGCUACGAUGGGCAAGUUCCGGCGGCGGCGCUGCUUCUUGCGGAUCACAAGAGAGCUCUUAUGCAGCACGGAGGAGCAAGCUGCUGGGUGACUUGGAGGAAACUGAGAGGGAACUGGGAGAAGAACUUCUUAAGAGCUGGGUGGGUGGCGCUAGGAGCUGUGAGCAGGGAGCUAGAGAAAGCUGAAGGUAAUAAAGGCAGAGGGAACUUCGGCAACGAGGGCAUUCCUUUUAUAGCUGCUGGGGCAGAGGAACGGAAACGGCGCGGAGAGAGAAGGGGAGCGGCGCGAAGGCCGGGGAGAAGCAAUGGAGUGCUCUGCCGGGGCGGCGAUUGAGCAAAGAGGGCGGUGGUGCAGAACUCCGGGGGUGACGCCAGCGAUCAUUGUGUUCUGCCGUCAGGGCGGCGUAGGGGCGGGUAGACUGGUGGUUGAGAUUUGGCGGAAAGCGGGCGUCGUCGUGUAGAAGAGGUGAUAGAAGCGACCGGUUAAACGGCGCUAGAAUCGAGGACGCAUAGCUGAGAAGACAGGCGGACGCGGGCGCGGGGGAGAGCGCGGAACAACAGAUUGUCAGGCGGCGUCUGACAGAGCGGGGAAAGGAACUGUCGCGGCCGUGGUCGGGGUUGGCGGUGAAGGAAUCGUCGUGUAGCGGCGACCGGGCGGCGCAACUGUGGCUGAAGGGACGGAAAAGACGGGCGACAUCGGGCUCUGGGGCCGGGAUCUGGUGGCGUGAUGAUGGGGCGAGAGACGAGGUUCUGCAGAAAGGGGUGCAGAGGGCUUCCGCUGCUAUUGGGGAAAGAGGGUGCGGGAACCCACUCUGUUGCUUGCCAGAGACAAAACUGAGCGACGGCGUCGGAGAAGACGAGCCACGCGGCAGGAAGACUCUGAGGCGGCCAUGCAACUCGAGUGCGGCUGUCGCGGAGGAUCUGGAAAAGAUCUCACGGGUCCACCGGUGGAUAGAUCGGACGGAUGAGGAAGAUCCGCAGAAUCCGACGGUGGGCUGAGCUCGCCGGGGUCGGGAGAGGAGCGAAGAAGGAAGGGGUCCGAUCUCAGGGGUCGAGACCGGCGGAAAACUGGGCACUUAGGUGCGGUCAAGCAAAACAGCUGACUAAGCCUAAGGGCUGAGAUCAAGACUAACUGGAAAGGCUUAGGGGUCGGUCGUUACAGCCUACCCCUCUUAAAAAGAAUCUCGUCCCGAGAUUCAGAGAUCAAGGGGGUGUGCUGUUCUUACCUCCUUGAUGGGACAGAAAACCUGGGAACUGCUUGUUCAGAUAUUCGUCCGUUUCCCAUGUUGCUUCAUCCUCUGUGUGGUUUCUCCAAAGGAUCUUGUACAUCUUUACCACUUGACGUCGGGUGUGCCUUUCCUUUUGGUCAAGAACUCAAUCUGGGUACUCGGCGUAGGUUAGGUCGGGCUCUACCUGAAGCUGUUCUUGCUCUAUGAUCUCUGUUGGAACUCGGACACAUUUGUUCAGUUGAGACACAUGAAAAACAUCAUGUAUGGCAGACAACUGUUCUGGGAGUUGGAUCCGGUAAGCAACGGGUCCACAUAUCUCCACAAUCUCAUAAGGGCCAACAUAGCGGGGUGCUAACUUGCCUUUUAUUCCAAACCGCUGCACUCCUUUGGUCGGGGAUACUCGAAGGUACACAUGAUCACCAAGGUCGAACUGCAGGGGUCUUCUGCGCUGGUCGGAGUAACUCUUUUGUCGAGAUUGGGCAGCCUUGAGAUUCGCUUGAAUCACCUUCACUUGCUCUUCGGCUUCUGCCACUAAGUCAGGGCCAUAGACCUGUCUUUCUCCUGGUUGGGACCAGUUCAAGGGUGUCCGACAUCUCCGGCCGUACAGGGCCUCAAACGGUGCCAUCUUCAAACUGGCCUGAUAGCUGUUAUUGUAGGAGAACUCUGCUAAGGGCAGACACUUGUCCCAGUUUUUAUCGUAGUGGAUAACACAGGCUCUUAACAUGUCUUCAAGAAUCUGGUUGACUCUCUCGGUUUGGCCAUCAGUUUGAGGAUGAUACGUUGAGCUUCGGAUGAGCUUGGUGCCCAUAGAUGCUUGUAGUUGCUCCAAAAAACGGGCCACAAACUGAACUCCUCGAUCGGAGACGAUGGUCUUGGGUACACCAUGUAGGGAAACUAUACGGUCGAGGUACAACUCUGCAUAUUGCUUGACUGUGUAGGUGGUGCGAACAGGAAGGAAAUGUGCCGUCUUGGUCAGACGGUCCACUAUAACCCAGAUGGAAUCAUACCGUUGAGUUGUAAGGGGUAAUCCAACUAUGAAGUCCAUGCUGAUGUCUUCCCAUUUCCAAGAGGGAAUAGGUAGCGGCUGCAAGGUUCCUGCUACCUUCAAAUGACUGGCCUUGACACGUUGACAGGUGUCACAUUCUGAAACAUAACGAGCUAUCUCUAGUUUCAUUCCACUCCACCAAAAGGUUUGACGAAGAUCAUGGUACGUCUUAUUGCUGCCAGGAUGGAUCGAGAACUUGGAGAGAUGAGCUUCGUCUAGGAUUUGCUUCCUUAACUCGGGGUCGGCGGGCACUACUAGUCGGUUUCCACAGUACACACUUCCCGUUUCGUCCUGACGGAAUUGCUUAUAUCCUUCAUCCUUUACUGAGAUCUUACUGGUGAUCCGUUUUAUUUCUUCAUCCUUAGCUUGUGCUGACCGAAUUUGGUCCUCCAAAACUGAGUCAAGGAUGAUGUGACCAAGGGUUCCGUGAGGGAUAAUCUCCAAACUUAGUUUUCCCAUCUCGUAACACAGGGUGUUGGUGAAGGCUGUUGACAACAAGCAGUUGCAAUGGGGUUUGCGGCUGAGGGCAUCGGCUACCACAUUGGCCUUGCCAAGAUGAUAGUGCACUUCCAACUCAUAAUCCUUUAUCAACUCCAGCCAUCUUCUCUGACGCAUGUUGAGGUCGGCUUGAGUGAAGAUGUACUUGAGGCUCUUGUGGUCGGUGUAGAUGUUGCAGUGAGCUCCCAUUAGGUAGUGCCUCCAUAUCUUCAAGGCAUGUAUCACUGCUGCUAACUCAAGGUCAUGUGUCGGGUAGCUUAGCUCAUGAGGUCGUGUUGGUGCUAGAAAUCGGUCAACCGAAUCCAAGCGACAAACACACGACCCGGGAGAAUCUGCUUAGCUCCUGUUCGGGUGAAUGCCCUGGUGCGGUUCGCGCGGCGUGCCAGCCAAUCUGACCUGUUGAUUGGCAAGGAAGAACACGUGUCAGGUCCAGAAAUUACGAUCGGCUAAGUUUCCGAUCGAGAGAGUUUAUCGGCGAAUCGGCCGAUUUACUGUAGUAAUGAAAUCGGCUAUAAGACAGCCUGAUCUCUAUAGCCUUGUAGACAAGAAAUUGCUAAAGUGAUCGGUACAAAGCUUAUGAUAACAACACUAGGAACAGAUCUAAUCGGCAAUAGAUGAAUCUAACGAUAGGAAAUAAAGAAAGCCGAUACUACCGAUUCCUAGCUGGAUAACUGGUGAUAAAAACUAGAAAAACAGGUAAAACCUAUGAAUCUAGCAAAUAUCGAUAACUAGUGAAUAAAUCUAAACGAAACAACAGCGAUACGCCCGGAGUUAAAGCUUAGAUAUUACUCGAUAAACGGAACUUACAGAAUCGGCCGGAGAUCAAGAUGAUGCAGCCCUGCCAACCCGCACGAACUCGUGGAAAAGAGAAAAGUAGUAGCGAAGUCGCUUGAAAGUAAGUACGAGGAAAAAAGUAGCUUGUUGUAUUGAUUGGUUGAUGAUUACAGAUUUACAAAGGUAGCUAUUUAUAGCCCCGUACAGAUAACUUCUUAACCGACUAGAAUUCUAUCCCUAACUUAAACAGAAAACGAAUAUCUACAAGCACAAUUCGUGCUAAGUUGGUUACUCUACGCCUCGUGGGCUGACUUCCACCUCAUCCUUCCAUCCCUUUCCGAGCCCAUACAGGCCCAAUUAGCCCAUCCCCCAAAUCGGCCGAUUCCUAAUCGGCAAAAGAUUACCGAUUGGGACUCUGGUAUAUUCGACCCAGAGUGAGACAGAAGUCACCGGCCGAUCUCACACUGUAGCACCAUUUGGCCGAUUCCCAACUGUGCUUCUCCGAUUCCCCUUUUUCUUGGCGCCGAUUCUACUAGUGACGAAAUCUGGCGUCAACAGGUCGUAACGCACGUGAGGCAUAGGCAAUGACUCGGCUGUCUUGCAUAAGAACACAUCCGAGUCCAGUGCCAGAGGCGUCACAGUAUACGUCAUACGGCCUUGAGAGGUCGGGCUGAGCCAAAACCGGGGCGGUGGUCAGCAAGUGCUUCAGGGUCUUGAAAGCUUCUUCACACUUGGUGUCCCACACAAACUUGACCUCUUUCUUCAGCAACUCGGUCAUCGGCUUAGCUAUCUUGGAGAAAUCCGGUAUAAAACGCCGAUAGUAACCUGCCAGUCCAAGGAAACUCCUGAUCUGGUGUACUGAGGCAGGAGACUUCCAUUCCAUGACUUCUUGCACCUUACUGGGAUCCACGGCGAUACCGUCCUUGGAGAUAGUGUGUCCCAAAAACUUGACACUAUCUAACCAAAACUCACACUUGGAGAACUUUGCAUAAAGCUGGUGAUCUCUCAGUCGUUGGAGAACUAUAUGAAGAUGGUGGGCAUGCUCUUCCUCGUCCCUCGAGUACACUAGGAUAUCAUCAAUGAACACCACUACAAACUUAUCCAGCUCGGGCAUAAACACCGAGUUCAUAAGGUACAUGAAAUAAGCGGGUGCAUUGGUGAGUCCAAAGGACAUGACUAGGUACUCGUACAGUCCGUAUCUGGUAGAGAAAGCUGUCUUGGGUAUGUCGCAAGGUCGAAUCUUUAUUUGGUGAUAACCAGAACGAAGAUCGAUCUUGGAGAACACUUUUGCUCCGGCUAACUGAUCGAACAAGACAUCAAUGCGCGGCAGUGGGUACUUGUUCUUGACUGUUACCGCAUUGAGGGGUCGGUAAUCCACACACAUCCGUAAACUGCCGUCUUUCUUCUUCACAAAUAGGGCGGGGCAACCCCAAGAUGAUGUACUGGGUCGAAUGAAACCUUUUUCCAACAGAUCAUGCAACUGGGUCUUCAACACGGCUAACUCGGCGGGUGGCAUCCGAUAGGGUCUCUUAGAUAUCGGGGCUGUGUCAGGAAUCAGCUCUAUGGAAAACUCCACUUCUCUGUCAGGUGGCAUACCCGGCAAAUCUUCUGGAAACACAUCAGGGUACUCACAGAUAAUAGGGAGGUCUUCUAAAUGGGCUCCCAAGAGAGGGUAGUCACAAGGAGUUGAGGACUCAGGAUGGGUCAAAGAUAGGGUAGAACGGCCAUGAGAGGGUGAGCUGAUGUAAAGAGAUCGGGCUGGUGUGUCUAAAACAACAUGAUGUCGGGCCAUCCAAUCCAUACCAAGGAUGACAUCUAUGCCUUCUAGGUCAAGGAUGAUAAGGUUUUCCUUGAAGAGGAUGGGGCCUAGCUGGAGAGGCACAAGAAUAACGACCUGAUCCGACGUUAUCCUUCCUCCAGGAGUGGCGAUCACAUAGGAUUCCUUAGUGUGACCGACAUUUAGCCCACAUCUUUCCCUUGCCUUACUCCCGAUAAAGCUAUGAGAGGCUCCCGAAUCAAACAACACAACAACAGCUUGAUUUAAAACAAGGAAAGUACCCGUCAUUACUGGCGCACCUUCGGGGAGUUCGGUCAAGCUGGUGUAGUUGAGUCGGCCUUGUCGGACUUGCACCUUGGGCCUUCUUCCUCUGGCUGCCAUGGGGUUCUGACCUUGCUGCUGAUUCAUGUUUCUGGGGCAGUCCUUUGCAAAAUGUCCUUCAUUGCCGCAGGUAAAACAACGAUUGCUGGCGGUCGGGCGAAGUGGCGUUGGCAGGGUCGGCCGGGGCACUUGCGGUUGGAAGCCUGGAAAACGAGGCGUUGUUGCCGGCGGGGGUCGGGCGAUCCAUUUCCCUGACUGCUGGGGUCGGCCAGGGGUUUGUGGAGGAACCAUCCGGAACCUUCGAGUCGGUGGACUCGGAAAUGCCACAAAGGCCUUCCUCUUCUGGUCGGCCUUGAGAGCUUGCAUGCAGUCCUCCUGAGAGAUGGCCAGGUUGACCAACUCGUUGUAGGUGUCCAGCCUAAUGGGGUUCAACCUUUCCCUGAGCUCCAAGCUCAGUCCUCGGCGGAAUCUGUCCCGCUUCUUCUCGUCUGUGUCCGCAUGAUAGCCAGCAUAACGGCAUAGGUCAUUGAAAGCUUGGGCGUAAGGCAGCACAUCCCGAGUUCCUUGGGUGAGGGCCAGAAACUCGUUGAGCUUACGCUUCAGGAGACCUUCGGGAAUGUGAUGCGCUUUGAACGCCGUCUUGAACUCGUUCCAGCUGACCUCGUGGCCAGCCGGCAGCAUGGCAUGGUAGUGGUCCCACCAAAGCCGUGCGGAUCCACGCAGCUGCUGAGCUGCGAACCGUGCCUUGUUGUGGUCGGGGCAUGGAGUGGUGAGGAGCUCGAACUUGGAUUCGAUCGUGCGAACCCAUGCAUCAGCAUCGAGCGGUUCUUGUGUCUUUUGGAACAGCGGGGGCUGUGUCCCCAGAAAGUCCUCAUAUCGCGCGAUAUGCGGCUGCUGCUGUGCUCUUCCACCCUGUGGCUGUUGCUGUUGUCCUUGUACCAGAUGCCUUAGCAGCUCAGUUUGAGUUGCUAGGAUUGCCUCCAAUGGCGAUGGGGGCGGGGGCGGGGGAAGAUCCUGUCGCUGAUCACUACCACUGGGUCCAGAACUAGACCUAGUGCGGUGCGCCAUCUGCAAGAGUUAACGCCCCAUUAAUUUCCUAACCUUAGGUGUACUCCAACAAAUGGAACGUAUGAAUUAAAUCCUUUAAUGCGACUCUUGCCAAUGGUGCAUCACACGUCCUCAUAGAGGAAGCACAUUCCUCCCAUUCUCGGCAUAGGCAACCUCUAUUUGACCUGGUACUCCACUUCAGGCAACACAUGCCGCAUACAGACUCCCGUGAUCGGGUCCACUCAGACCAAGGGGUCGGACACGGUCCGUACUUGAAAAGGGUCGGACGAGGCGGAGACUGCCUCAGGGGUCGGCGCACUCUAGCUCGCAAACUAGGGUCGACCAACUGAACAGGCUCCCCGAAAACAGCAUAGGGUUACGGCGCAACUUACUCAACCCUAUCAUUCACACCAUACGAAGAGGAGAAAACUAUGCACCGGGGUUAACUUUAUACACAACGACGUUUCAACACAGGGAGUACUCAACUCAAGGCUAACCUAUUACAGCUUUUCCAAAAUCUAGGCUGCCGAGGAGUACAACAAAAAGAAAGAAGGUUCCAUGAGAACCCUUAAGCUACCAAUGGACACUAUGAGUCGAAGAAGGGGCGCCAUCUUCUUCUAUGUCCAUGCUGGACGCUCCCUCAUCUUCCUCAGGGUCCUCCUGAGCUUCGAGCUGCAUGUUGAGGGCAUGCAUAUCCUCGAGCUCGGCUUGGUGCUCCUCCAGGUGGGCAUUGGCGACUGCUAGCUCCAUUUCCAUCUCCAUCUUUUCCUCCGAGAGCUCUAUCAUGCCGUCCACGAGGUCGGCGACUUCUCCUUCUAGCUCGGAGAUCCGAUCUUGCAUAUCGUGGAUCUGGAUACCACGCUGGAUCAGCUGGUAGGUUUGACCUACCAUGUCUCUUCUUGCUGCCUGGAGGUGACCGUGGGUAUCUGCUGCCGUCCAGGCGAAGAGGGUCAUGGCUCUUCCCUGAAGCUCUAUCAACCUGUAGAGGGCGGCCAUGCACCGGAUGUUGGUGGAGAUGGUGACCAUGGCGCAGGUGGUGGCCAGCACCUCGAUGUUUCUGACGCGGUCAAGCCAGGCCGGGUCCAGCCGGUUCCUGACGGGAAAGAGACCGAUCGGGUCUAACGUGAUCUCCACGGGGUGCAGCUGACAGAACUGGGUGAGCAACUGAAGGGCGGCGGAUUCCCAUGUAUCUUCCGGAGAAAGACCAUAGGCUAUUAUGCCAAGAGAGGGCCAGUCGGGCCGUGCAAGGGGAGGUGGUACCAACGCUUGCACCUGGCACGUCUGAAUGCCCUGUUCCAUAUAUAACCGCCCGGCAUACAAGGGCGGGGACUGAUACCCAAACCACUUCAGCGUAUCCCACAGAAUCGCGGGAAACCCCUCGAAAUGCAGGCACGUUGAUUGGAAGGUACCGUCCACUCCAAAAACAACAUGUCCAGGGACAGCCAUCUGGAACCAAGAAAACCGAAACCACGUGAGAUAACUCCAAGGAUCAGGGGUCGGAUAGAAAAGCAGACGGGUUUCACCGAGAGCAACUAAGAGAAACUAGAAAUCCUUAGAUCAAAAGAACUCUUUCGGACAGGGUUGCUGCUGAGAAAAGGGACCGUACAACCUUUUAGAUAUACCGCAUGCACGACCUACCUUACUCUCAACCAAAAACAACUGCCCAACUUUGGGUCUUACGCGGUCAGUGCCGGUGACAAGGCAACAAUACGUCUCUCCCUAUAAUAACUAGUCGGUUCUAGCAACGUCUCUUAACGAGCGCGGUUAGCAACCUGCAGAAAACACCACACACGAACCUUUCGUGCCAGCACCCACGAAAGCGUUCCCAAACAUUACCGCUCACUAUAGGAACGGCACCCAUGCGUUUAAGGCUGCAUGGACAGCACUCAACCGUGGAAAUAGGCUCCCUUUGAAUGGAUCCGUAUAACCCUUCGCAUACUCGUGAUGCAGAAUCGGCACACGUGUGACAAACGUGGCGAAACAACCGUGCUGAUAGGUUCGUUGGAAUCGAACCGUAUCAACCUUCGUAUGGAACACAUACGGAACCUGCGCACGUGUAAUAGACGUGGGCGAAAGCAACCGCGAAGAUAGGGUCCCUUGAAUGGAGCUCCCUAUCAACCCUCGCAUGCUCGCGAUGCGGAACUCGGCACACGUAUGAUAGACGUGGCGAAGUGCUGGAGGAGUUAGCAAAAUAACCAAGUACUUAUUAGUCACCUGAAACCACCCCAAAAUCCCCUAGGGCCUCUCGCACUAAGUCAUCCCUAACGAUCGUACGAGAUUUUCAAAAGUUUCUUGCAGCUUUUAUCCUUUCAAAGAAGUGUUUAGGGCUCAUUGGGUUCUCUGAAAUGCUAAACACGGCUCUGAUACCAGCUGUGGCGGAACCACCUCAGAUUAGCUUGAUUAAACAGGGUUAAGCGGCCUAACAUGCGACACUCCUGCCUAACUCGAGCUAACACGAAGUGCCGUCGGAUUUCAUCCGAUUUAACCACUUAAACAGGAUCGAGUUUAGCAAACCCACACGAAGGUGAGUGGUUACAGAGAAAACAACAAGUCCACUGAGUUGAACAAGUUUUACCCAUUUAGUUCGGCCAUAAAAUCCAACACCAGAGUUUUACAAGAUUUCAAGAAAACAGCAGAGAAAACUAGCGGAAGACUUCGUCGGGGUCGGAUGUCCGGGCGAGGCCAGCCAGAACAUCACUGAGUCCUCUCUUCGCCGUCCGAGGAGGGGUCCCACUCGACCGUCCAGCCUGGCGGGAGCUGGGGCGGCCAAGCACCAACCAGAGAGGGGUCGGAAGCAGCAACUUCACCUGAAAAACAGGAGCCACAACAAGGCUGAGCUACUAAGCUCAACAAGACUUAACCGAUAGGAGUAAGGGCUACUCCUCCUUCUAGACAUGCAAGGCUUCUUGGCUGAGGGGUUUGUUUGCCAAAAGCACUAAGUAUCCCUAUUUCAGUUUUUAGCUUAGGUUCUAUGUUCAUUUACCAGUCUAGGUUGUGCAACCUAUUCUAAGCAUUCAUAGAACCAAACAAGAGGUGUAGAUAUAACAACAACAUUGCCAUCAUCAGAUUCCUCACUUACUCAGGGUGACAUAGCGAUCAAGCAAUCUCAAACUGUGAGAGGCAGACGAAUCGAUUAGAGUUCUUUAACCAUGCAUGGUGAACCUAGCCUCACGACAUCCGCGCACCCGGAGGUCGCUUCCUGUGUCGGCCUUCCCCAUCAAUCCCCUAACCCGUGUCGGGCCCAUUUCCUUUGGUGCAAGGUUCCACAGACCCGGCCUCUGCCGUCCUGUGACCACGCAUUGCCACCACGUGCGACAACCCGCAGGGGAAACUCCGUUCCAAGAACAAUGGGGCGACCGCUCACGUCUAGGUUCAAUCCGGUACUAGGCUUCCUCAUCCCAUACUAAGUAUGAGGCUAGUACUUUCAAACACUCGAUCACGAACACCACCACUGUCGGGCCUUAGCAAGAUUUCAUAGACAGACGGGGCGACCAUCCGACCACCAAAGAGUUACCCAAAACCCUGCCCCGUCCAUCGUCCUUAUAGUUAUAACAGGAGAGUAAACAUGCAACUCCUAUAACUCGCGAGUGACAGGAAAUCACUCGGCUUUUACCGUUUUUCUAGUUAAGCAAGGCAACUACUCGGUCCAACAGCUAGUGCUCGGAUCAUGGGUCACUGAGUCAUGCAUCUAGGGUUUCACACAACUCCUAUACGUAAAUGCACAAGCAUGUUACAGAAGGCAUGCGCAAGUCUGGUAAAACAUAUAGGACUUUCAUGCAACCGGGGCUUGCCUUCAAGCAAGGAGGACGGAAACUGCUCGACUUCGGGGGCGACUUCGGCUUCGGAGGGCAGGAGCUCGGCUACAGCUUCUUCUUCUGGCGCCGGGUGAAGCUCGUAGAAACCGUCGGCGAGGUGCAGCUCUACACGAAUGCAAUGCAAGGGUUAGCUUAGACGGUUACUUCAACAGCAACACUAGCUCACCUGAGCCCAGAAACUUGCGACAAAGAGCAGGAGGUUAUGGUGCUUCGAGAGAGCUGAUGGUGAUCAAGAGGUAAAUGCAGGAAAGGAAAUAGUGGUCUGAUCCUCGAACUAGAGGAUGUGAUAACUGGGAUCCUUAGACGCAAGCGCGGAAGGGUUCCCAAGUUUUACACAUACACCCUCGAGUUGAAGAAAAAGAUCACAGCCAAGCCCUCGGGCGAGGCGGAUAAGGGUCGGCGGAACAGACAGGGUCGGUCGAGACGGAACUGGGGUCGGGCGGAUAGGAGGGGUCGGGCGAGGCGGACUGGGGUGGGCAACUCACCUUCUUCCUGAAAGGAAAGCUUGGGGUCGGGAAGAAGCGGUCUUGGGCGGAGGACUAAAGCUUCGAGCAAGGGCUACGAUGGGCAAGUUCCGGCGGCGGCGCUGCUUCUUGCGGAUCACAAGAGAGCUCUUAUGCAGCACGGAGGAGCAAGCUGCUGGGUGACUUGGAGGAAACUGAGAGGGAACUGGGAGAAGAACUUCUUAAGAGCUAGGUGGGUGGCGCUAGGAGCUGUGAGCAGGGAGCUAGAGAAAGCUGAAGGUAAUAAAGGCGGAGGGAACUUCGGCGACGAGGGCAUUCCUUUUAUAGCUGCUGGGGCAGAGGAACGGAAACGGCGCGGAGAGAGAAGGGGAGCGGCGCGAAGGCCGGGGAGAAGCAAUGGAGUGCUCUGCCGGGGCGGCGAUUGAGCAAAGAGGGCGGUGGUGCAGAACUCCGGGGGUGACGCCAGUGAUCAUUGCGUUCUGCCGUCAGGGCGGCGUAGGGGCGGGUAGACUGGUGGUUGAGAUUUGGCGGAAAGCGGGCGUCGUCGUGCAGAAGAGGUGAUAGAAGCGACCGGUUAAACGGCGCUAGAAUCGAGGACGCACAGGUGAGAAGACAGGCGGACGCGGGCGCGGGGGAGAGCGCGGAACAACAGAUUGUCGGGCGGCGUCUGACAGAGCGGGGAAAGGAACUGUCGCGGCCGUGGUCGGGGUUGGCGGUGAAGGAAUCGUCGUGUAGCGGCGACCGGGCGGCGCAACUGUGGCUGAAGGGAUGGAAAAGACGGGCGACAUCGGGCUCUGGGGCCGGGAUCUGGUGGCGUGAUGAUGGGUGCGGGAGACGAGGUUCUGCAGAAAGGGGUGCAGAGGGCUUCCGCUGCUAUUGGGGAAAGGGGGUGCGGGAACCCACUCUGUUGCUUGCCAGAGACAAAACUGAGCGACGGCGUCGGAGAAGACGAGCCACGCGGCAGGAAGACUCUGAGGCGGCCAUGCAACUCGAGUGCGGCUGUCGCGGAGGAUCUGGAAAAGAUCUCACGGGUCCACCGGUGGAUAGAUCGGACGGGUGAGGAAGAUCCGCAGAAUCCGACGGUGGGCUGAGCUCGCCGGGGUCGGGAGAGGAGCGAAGCAGGAAGGGGUCGGAUCUCAGGGGUCGGGACCGGCGGAAAACUGGGCACUUAGGUGCGGUCAAGCAAAACAGCUGACUAAGCCUAAGGGCUGAGAUCAAGACUAACUGGAAAGGCUUAGGGGUCGGUCGUUACACUCGGACCAAGGAGGAGGAAUACCUAUGCCGGAAAGCCGACGCCAUGCAGCAGGCUAGGGAGCUCUGGAAGGACCUGGAAGCCCUCUAGUCGGCCAAGGCUCAUCGGGACACCUUGGGGAAAGGGAGUGUGGGCAAGCCAAAACGUCCCCCAGCCGGGUCAUGUCCGAUAGCCAUGCGUGAAGGAGCACCCUCUAUGACAACAAGUCCCCCUGUCCCCCGGCCUCCAGUCCAUCAGCUGGCCGCGAGGAUUCAAAAUGUCGUAGAUCGCCCCUUACGAUGGGAAGACUAAUCCCAAGGCCUUCAUUUUGAGUUUCAAAGUCACCAUUCGGUCUGUUGGAGGUGAUGAGGCCAUCAUGCGAAGAGCUUUGUGAUGCCAUGAUGGGCAUCACCCGCACCUGGUACACUACCCUUGAAGCCGGGAAGAUCUUCUCCUAGGAGCAGCUAUGGGAGGUGAUGCUAGAGAACUUCCAAGGAAACUACGAUGACCCCAUAACUUCAGGACACCUCUUCGCCGUCAAGCAAGGAGGGACAGAGAUGCUUAGAAGCUUCGUCAAGUGCUUCAUCAACGUGAAGUGCCAAGCAAGUGGUCUAAGCAAAAGAACCAUCAUUUAUGCUGCCCAGAAGGGUCUACACCAUGGCUCCCUUCGGUCACGCCUCUCCCGGCGUCCUCCUCAGACCGUGUAUGAACUCAUGCGCAAGAUGGAGGAGUACACGCAUGUGGAAGCUGAUGAGCUCCGCGAGGCCCAAUGGAAGAUCCUCCCGGAAUCCCAACCUACGAGGCAGGAGAGAAGGCAUCACGACUCCCUUCCGGAGCAUCCCUAGGAGAGGGACGACCAGCGCAAGUAGCAAGACCAUGCAUGUCGCCCCUACCGGGAGGUCUAAACAGUGGAGACCUCCCGAGGAGGGAGGAACCCCGAGGGGACCGGAAGAGGGAGAAGACCUCUGAUGCCCGGAAGCCCUCCUCCAGAUCUCAAAACACCAAGCCUCGAGUGAGUCGAGCUAGACUCGUUACGGGAUUCGUCAAAGCCAUACUGCAUCAUCCACGAGCACUUGGGAGGGCACACUACACGAGAGUGCCUCUCCAUCGAUGCCUGCAAGGCAGAAGUGGCAGCCUCCGCCCGGAAGACCUCCACCACAGGGAGGGCCGUCAUGCACACUGCCCCACCCCCACUCAUGGGUUGGGUCAACGCGCCUCCGCCACCGAUACCGCACCCCGCCCAUCAGUGGCCGCCCGCGGCGGUGUACAGAAUGCCACCUCUGUCUCCACCACCACCAAGGCAGCCACAGGCCCCUCCGCCGGCCCCAAAUUAGGAGGCGCCUGCCCGGGAUGUGCAGUAUGUAGUGGGGACUCAUCGCAUGGUCCUUCCCAUCUCUGGGGAUUCAUACAGCCCCUGGAGUCCAAGCGCCAGUGGCACGAGUACGUACGGGAGGUCCAGCACGUGACCUCACACCCGCAGGCCCUGCUCCCCCACUACGCCACCGUCCUGAUCACCUUCUGAGCGGAGGACUACAACAUUCCCUUCUACCCCCACACUGAUGCCUUUGCCAUCUCAGCCAACGUUGUUGGGCUCUCCCACACCCAGCUUACUCAGGUUGGAACGCCUCUGCAUGGUUUUGGAGGGCAAGUAGUCGAAGCCCUAGGCCAAAUCCAACUGCCAGUGUCCUUCGGCCUUGGUGAAUAUGCCCACACGGAGGACAUCAUCUUCGACGUGGUGGAUGUGCCCUACCAGUACAACACCAUAUUUGGGAGACGCCUCCUCAACACCUUUUAUGCCAUCCCUCAUCACAACUUCCUGUGCAUGAAAAUGCCAGGGUUGAAAGGAAUCAUCAAGGUGCUAGGCGAUCAGAAGCUGCAAGACUCAUCGAAAUCAGAUGCACCCUAAGAGGAUGGUGCAACUGGCAGCCAACCUCUCGAAUGAAAUGGAAGUAGCCCUCCUUAAUUUCCUCCGGGAAAAUGAGGACGUCUUCGCUUAGUCCCUCUCUAAUCUCCAAGGGAUCGACCGAGACUUGAUCCAGCACCACCUGAACGUUGACCCCAGAAAGAAGCCCUCCAAAUAGAAGGUGCUAAAGAUGUCGACGGAAAGGAAGGAGGUGGCCUAUGCGGAGGUGACCAAGCUGCUCGACGCAAAUGUGAUUCGGGAAGUCAUUUACACGGAAUGGCUCGCCAACCCGAUCCUAGUGAAGAAGAACAAUGGGAAGUGGAGAAUGUGUGUGGACUUCACCGAUCUCAACAAGAUUUGCCCAAAGGAUGAUUUCCCUCUCUCCCGCAUUGAUCAAAUCGUGGACUCCACUUCUGAGAGUGAGCGCCUCAGCUUCCUACAUGCCUACUCCUGGUAUCACCAAGUCUGGAAGGCGGAAGAUGAUGAGCCCGGACCAAUUUCAUCACUCCAUUCGGAACAUACUGCUUCGUGCAGAUGCCCUUCGGCCUCAGGAACGCCGAGGUGACGUUCACACGACUAGUCUAGCUAGUUUUUGAUGCCCAAGUCGGAAGAAACCUGGAGGCUUACAUUGAUGACAUUUUCAACAAAAGCAGGAAUGAGCAGGACCACCUCUCUGACUUGUGGGAAACUUUCACGAAUCUACGAAGAACCUGACUACAUCUCAACCCCAAAAAAAUGCAUGUUCGGGGUAUUCUCCGGGAAGCUACUAGGUUACUUUGUCUCCUAGAGAGGAAUCGAAGCUAACCCCGACAAGAUCCGUGUCAUCCGGGAGAUGGAACCCCCGAGAAACGUGCGUGAGGCGCAAUGCCUAAUGGGGUGACUUGCGGCACUGAGCCGCUUCAUCGCUAGAUCGGCAGACUUGCGGCACUGAGCUGCUUCAUCGAGAGAUUGGCAGAAUGGAGCCUGCCCAUCUUCGAGGUGCUAUGGGGUUCCGACCCGUUCUGGUGGACGGAGGAGCAACAACAGGCCUUCCAUAAACUCAAGCAGUACCUAGAGCAUCUAGAAGUGCUGACAAGCCCUACCCCCGGCGCCCCGCUCCUUCUCUACAUCGUAGCAGUAGAGGGAGCGGUGAGCACAGUCCUAGUGGAAGAGCACUCCCGAGAUAGGAAGGAGGAGCGAUCUCCAGUGUACCAUGUCCCUGAAGCAUCGACGAGGACCAAGCUACGCUACACCGAGUUGGAGAAGAUGGUGUAUGCUGUCGUCAUGGCCUCCCACAAGCUGAAGCACUACUUCACCGCUCACCCGAUCACCAUCCCAACCUCCUACCCGCUGCGCGACGUCUUCGAAAAUUGGGAGGCCAUUGGGCGCAUCAGCAAGUGGGCAACAAAACUCGAUCCUUUCGCGCUCUCCUUCGUCUCCCAAAGUGCAAUCAAGUCACAAGCUCUCGCUGAUUUCAUUGCCGAUUGGACACUAACGAUGUCUGCCAGUAGCCCCUCGAUGGCGGAGCCGAUCUGGACAACGUAUGUUGAUGACACAUGGGGCACCUCCGGCGCAGUGUUGACGAUAGUUAACACACCAAGUUGUGAACCGCAAGCACAUGGAUCAUCAUAGCUUUUCCCUUAGAGUAUUCCAUCCAAGGUUUAUCAAUAUGUGGAUCGGCAGCGAACUGACUAGGGUUCUCUAUCUAGCUAAACGAAUCUAAUCCUAACAUGAAGCAUGAAUUGCAUAUAAUGUUAAACCCAAUCGUGAGAUAAGUAUUGUAGACAGGGUAAACAGAUCACAUCCAUAGGUAACACAACAAAAGGUAGCAUGAGCUUAUUGUCUUCUUAUUGUAGUUCCAGCUAAAGUGGUAACCAAUCUACGUAGCACCUUGAUAAACAGUCAUCUCUUAAAAAGGUGGCUCGUAAGCGGCUUACUUUCUUGUGGUCACCAUUGCGAGGUGUGUGUUAACACCUCUGGUUUUCCAAAGCAUUACCUCAAACGACUCCCACAAUACUAACCAUCAAUCCUACUCAACAUUACAUAAUUGUUCGGUCUUUUCCUCCCACAUGCUAUCACCACACAAUGGUAAUCACACCGACUUCCUACGCACUAUUAAGAUGUAUCCACAAGACAUAGACUAAUCACCAUGAUUAUAUCUAUUCCUACUAAAAACAUACGCUUACUAAACAUAUGAGAAAAAGCAUGCAUCAUAGUAGAUCAAACUAAGCACAAGAUUAGAUUGAUAUCACCAUCGUGUGUGCAUAAGCCUUGAUGAUCACAAGGCUCGGCUCCAGAAUUCCACCAUGGCUUCGCUGCGCAGGGAUGACCAAGGCGGCUAGGGUCUAGCCUAAGUCAUCUCCUAGACAACCUUGAAGACUUACAGCGGCCCUCAGCUCCCUCUGAUGUGUGUCCCUCUAUUCGUCGACUUCUGGUGGAUUGGUCUGCGUGCUCAGUAAAAUAUCGGAGUAUUUAUAGUCUAGAGAUCGCAUGGCAGAAAUUGGAAGGUGAGAGAAGCAAGGAAAGUCCCAGGCCGAUUGGCCUAGCCCUUCCUUGUGGUCUCUCACACCCUCCUUCGUCCCCAAGUCUUCUUAGGUGUUCUGAAGUCUUAUUUUUACUUGUAUGUGGGCCUGACACAUCGAUAGCUUCAGGAUGAAAUUGAUCUUUAAUAACUUUCCAAAUCUCCGCUUGAUCCUCUUUAAUCCCGAAGUGAUCCUUGCCAUAUCUUCACAAACUUAGGCCUUAAGUAAUCUUGGAGGAGUGCUUCCUAAACAUGAACGUCGAAGGAGGCCAGAAGACUCCUGGCCAAUCGGCUUGGGCUUCACCAGGCCGAUAGGCCUGGGCUCUUUCUAAGCCCACUGGCCUUCAUCUUUGACAAGUUCAUUACUUGUUCAAAGUUUUAUCCAAAAUUAUGCUUUUAGGUACAAUUUCUUGGAAAAAAUAGAAUGUCCUCCAAAAUACAAUGCAUAUGCAAAAAUGGGGUUAUUUUAGGUACCAAGUGGCAGGUUAGUAUAAGAAUAUGUAUGAAAACAUCACUUAAAUAGCACUAAAAGUGUGUCAAUAAUGAGCAUCAACACGCAGGAGCGGCGGCGAUCCUAUCCUCCCCGAUGGGGCAGGAGAUCCGAUAUGCCCUCCAUCUUGACUUCCCAUGCACCAACAACACGACGGAGUACGAGGUGCUCGUCCUCGCGUUACAGAAGGCAGCAGCCCUAUAAGGGCGGUGUCUCCUCAUCAAGAGCGACUCCCAAGUCGUCACACUCCAAGUAGAAAACGAAUACCAGGCUCGGGAGCCCGAGCUGGCGGAGUACCUACGGGUGGUCCGAAACAUGGAACGCAAGUUCCAUGGUUUCACCAUCAUGCACAUCCCCAGGGUGGAGAAUGAGCAUGUCGACGCAUUGGCCAAAGCAGCCUCCCAAGGAAACUCGCUCCCGUCGAAAUUCUUUUUUCACAUCGCCACUGCCACCAACGCCGCAGGGACCUCUCGCGAGGUCAUAGCCAUAUUCAGCGAAGACUAGUGCUCCCCCAUCAUCAUGUUCCUUGAACUACACUCCCGAGGACCAUACGGAGAUGCACCGUCUGCAACAACGAUGCCGUCACUACCAGCUCGUGGACGGAACCGUCUACAAAGUAGGCAUGUACGCCCCCCUCCUGUGAUGCAUCCCUAGGGAGGAGGGGUGAUAGAUGCUGGAAGAAAUGCAUGCCGGUCCCUUUGGGGCACACUCGGCAUCUAGGGCCCUCGUCGGGAAGGUCUUCCAGUAAGGAUUCUAUUGGCCUACCACGCUUCGGGAUGUCCAAGAAAUUGUCAGGCGAUGCAUGACCUGCCAAAGAAUGAGCAAGAUGAGCCCUCUCCCCGUGACGCUGCUCCAACCAUUGGCUCCUGUCUGGCUGCUCGCGCGAUGGGGCAUCGACAUCGUGGGACCACUACCCACUGCACCAGGAGGUUUCCGUUUCGCGGUAGUAGCCAUCGAGUACUUCUCCAAGCGGGUGGAAGCGGAGCCAGUCACCGCAAUCAAGUCUGCCAACAUUGUCAAAUUCUUCUAGAAAACAUCAUUUGCCUCUUCGGGGUGCCAAGGGAGGUCACGAUGGACACUAAAAAACAGUUUGAUUCUGAAUGGUUCUGGAGCUACUGUGAUGAUCUGGGCACAAAGGUCUUUUUUGCCUUGGUGUAUCAUGCACAGUCUAACGGGGCUUGCGAGCAUGCAAACAGUAACAUCUUCGUGACAAUGAGCAAGCGCAUCUUCGGAGAACCUAAAGGUGUGUGGGCCGACGAACUCCCGAACAUUUUGUGGGCCCAUCGCACCUCCACCUCACGCCCUACUGGUUUCACACCCUUCCUGCUUCUAUUUGGAGAAGAAGCCAUGACCUCGGAGGAGGCCUCGCGUGGCUCCCUCUGGGUCACCCACCAAGCUGAUGUAGGAGAUGAGGCGAUCGCAAAGGAGCUACUAGAGGAAACACGCAUCCAAGCCGUGGCCAACCUUGAGAAGUACUAGGCGGAAAUGAGGGCUUGGCGCGACAGGAGGACGCGAAGUCGCUUGUUCGCAGAAGGAAACUUGGUCCUGCAUGUUCGGAGGAUUUCUGACGCCCUAGGCAAGUUCGAAAGCAAGUGGGAAGGACCCUUCAUCGUCACCGCAAGCAACUACCUGAGAAGUUACCGCCUGACUUUGUCGGAUGGAGAAGAAGACCCCCACUCAUUGAAUGCGGACCUCCGCAUCUGGUACUACCCCUGAGCUUGGGUAAGACAGGCAAGGCUCAGCGCAUGGCCCAUCACUGGCCAGGAGACCAGCGCCACUGCAAGUUUUUUGUCUUCUCUUUUUUAGCCUUGAUCUGUUUUUGUUUGUUUCCUUCAUUUGCAAGCCAGCCACAUGGAUAGCACAACGAGUCUUCUGUUGUCCAAAUAUCAGCGGCAUCUUCUGACCGCUACCGGGAGGCCCCGGCAAGGCACCGGCAUGUUGUAAUGAUUGUCUUCCCAAUCAUGGCACUAAUCUAAGUGUUUUCAGCUUGACAGCAUCUCCUCUCCGCUCCUUUCUGGAAGUGAUGCUUUCUGAUGAGUCGCACUUGGCGGCCAAGGGCUGAGGCCCUCGAGCGCUGGCAUAGCACCGCAUGCCUUUUCCUUUCCGGAACCGAUGCUUUCCGACGAGUCGCACAGGGCGGCUAAGGGCUGAGGUCGUCGAGUGCUGGUGUAGCACUGCACACCUGCUCCUUUCCAGAAGUGAUGCUUUCCGACAAGUCGCAUUGGGCGGCUAAGGGCUGAGGACCUCAAGUUCCGGUGUAGCACUGCACACCCGCUCCUCUCCGGAAGCGAUGCCUUCCGAUGAGUCACACUGGGUGGCUAAGGGGCUGCGGCCCUCGAGCGCCAGUGUAGAACUGCACACCCACUCCUUUCCGGAAGCGAUGCCUUCCGACAGGAAUCACGGGCCCUUCCGGGGUGGUAGCCCCCAAAAAGUGUUCUCGCCUCCCGCAAAGCUACCGCACAUCUACUUCACCCAAGGCGAUGCCCUUCGGGAUAAGGGCGCUUAUGCUCAACCGGAGGCGUUGCCCUUCCAGGAAACAUCGACACAGCAAAUAAAAAUAGGCCACAAAAAUACAAACACCUUUCCGGGAUCUUCUUCAAAAAUAAAUACCACACAAAACUAACAAUUUUAGAGCUGCAUCACGUGAAACAGACACCUAGCCUAGAUCACAACGGUUGAGAUAAUCUAAGAAACUACGGGAAGCACGCCCACGGGCACGCGCCCUGGAGCACGACAUGGACUGCCCCCCAGAAGGUUGUGGCUGAGGAGGGCAAUGGGAUGACCGUGACGAAGACCCCCUGAUGGAAACACUGGGCCCAAGGUCCACGGUGAAAGCCUCCCAGGCAGUGCGUUGAGAGGCCAAUGCGCUGACACCCUCCGAAGGAGCACCGCUGCCUAGGACCUCCUCAGCAGCUAGGCGUCUGGUGAAAGCCACGUCUAUCUCCACCUGUGGAUUGGUCUCCUGAACGUCCUGUUUCAACCAGCCACUAGACAAAAGAUGAAGGGGUUGAGGCCUCCAAAGCUUCCUCUUUAUCCUUCUCCGCCACAGUAAAGCAUCCAGGGCACGGGUCUGCGGAAAGAGCUGGGUGACUCACAUCCUAUGAAGAUGAAUAAAAGUUAAGACACCCUCUCGGCCCCCUAUCAACACUAAGGGAGGGGGAUCGAGGCGUAUGCCUUGGCUAUUGGCUCCCCACCAUAGCAUAACGUAGUCUCGGAAGUGACCCGGGAGGAUCCCUGAGAGAACAAGAAUAAAAUCCUUUAUUAAUCUUUGAAGAAAAAUGUUACACCUCAGACUCAAAGAAUGGCCAACAAGAAAUCCCUCCUCCUCCAUGGAGGCAGACAAAGAUGAACGCCGAGCAGCCCUAUGAAAGGAGGUGCCCUAGCUAGCACCCCUGCCUAGGGGAGAGGGGGAGGGGUGCACGGAAGAAUCUAGGCCCCCCAAGGGCGGAAUGGGGGAACUAAUCUGGCUUCAACUGAUCGGAUAGGCGGCCACACUCCUCGAUGAAGUCGAAAAAAUCUUCCUCGGGGUGCUCCUGGCAGCUAGGUGUGGCCCCCUACCUCUCUAGCCAGUCCGACCAAUCCCAAAGGAAAGAACCCCGAACCAAAAUCCUGCCAAAAAGGAGGGUUUCAGGGAAAACCUCUAAAUGGGUCAUGGCACGAACUCCCAAACGACUGGAAAACCCUCGCUUGAAACAGGCUCCCUACAUGGAGCCAGCCCCCUCAUGGCAGGAGCCUUUCGACAGCGCCGCACAAACUGAAAAUGAAGAGGGGUGAACCCCCAAAGCACAAUGAUGAGAAUUAGAAAGAACACAAACACCUCCUUCAUUAAUCAAAAGGGUCCAUUACAACUUGGAAGUUCCACUACAAGCGCAAAAACUCGCCCUAAAGAACCUAAUAAAAGAAGGGCUUAGGGCGCCUAAGUCUCAAGGGGCCGGCCAGGGAAGAGUUCAAACUGGGAAUCGCUCCGAAGGCUCUCAUUCCCCGCUGCGCCCUCGGUUCUACUAGGGCUCUCCCCUGCAUUGGCCAUCAAAACGGCGUGGGCCUCGGCCACCACCAAGAUACGGGCCAGCUCGAGACCGCGGUCCAGCCAGUAGUCCCUAAAGGCCUUAGAGGCAGACUACACAGCCCAGAUCCACUCCAAGAAGACCGAGGAAUUGCUGGGGAGCUCCCGGAUCUACUCCCUCGCAGCCAAAGGUGGUUGCACCCGAUCAUGUGCAGCGCUAGGAAGGCCCCCUCCAGGAGGUUUGGGCGCACACAUUGGCGAAGCCGGUGGCCCCCAGAGCGAUGGUGUUGAUCCCCCGGUAGAGCCAGUCCACACUCUUCAAAAGAUUCUCCUGGGGAUGAGUCGGGGGAUCAACGUCAAUGCCCAACAACAGCAAGGCCGCCCUCACGUCCUCCAUGAUGGUCCAGGCCACUGAAGCUCCCUCGAGGAGCUAGGAGGAGACUGAAGAUGCUUGACGCUCAGCUUCCUCCCGGGCCUUCUUCUCCAUCGCUAGAGCCCAAAUGCUGCAUCCCAGUCCUGCUCCACACGCAAGGCCUGAGCGUUAGCAUUCGUCUCGCCCUGGUGAGCUUCCGCUAGUGCCACCUCAAGCUCUUGUACAUGGGCCUCGAUGGCACUCUCCUGAGAGGAAGAAGACACCGCAGCGGCCACUUGAGCCAGGACGACAACCUAAAUGCGUCGAGCAUUUCCUUCUAAGAUUAAAAAACUACAUGGCACAACCAAGAGGUAUGGAGAGGAGAAGAGAAGGAAAAACGAACCUGGACUCCCAAUGCGGCAAGUGCCUUGUGCGCUGCCUCGACGGGGACUCCCCGAGUAAGGUUUUGGAGAGAGGGAACCCAGAGCCCCAAGGCCAUGGAGGCCAGCUUCGCACGGGGACCCUCACGACCCGUGAGAUCUUCGGAGGAGACAAAGUCUGACCCAGAGGAUGGGCCAUAGAACAACCCCUUCCUACGCCCUGGGCGGAGGAUAGCGGUCUCCUCGGGAAGCAAGCUCUCCCGCCCCUCGUCGUUGCCACCCACCGUCUCCUCCUCCUCCACCACCAUGGCAGCCCUCCCCUUUUCGGGAGACGGGCUAGUGGCCCCUAUAGAACACAACUUAAGAGCCCAUUUAAUCAUUCAACGGGGAAGUGGAGACAACAUACUCAAUCCAAGGAAAUCCAACAACUUACGAAUCUCUUCCUCCUCCUCUUCACUGUCAAACUCAGGGUAGGCCCUCGGGAUGCGGAACCUAGGAUGCAUCUCGAGAAAGGUGGAACGUGGUCCUCCCAAACCAGAGGGGGAGCGUAACAAAGAAGGGAGGCCAGGAGAGGUGGAUCCUUCCCGAGAGACCCAGAAAUGGGGGAGUUGUCUAGAGUCCCGUCCCGCGCGGCCUCCCCACUGGAGUCCUCCACUUCCCCCUCCUCAUCGCCGCCAGCAAGCCCCAUCACCACAAAGCUGGUCUUCCUCACCCUCCUUUCUCGGGCUCCGGAGGUCCCGCUCUGGUCGCAGCCCCUCACCCCUUGAGGGGGUUUUUCCUACGAGUUGAGACGCUCCUAAACGCCCACAUUGUGGAUCGCCAGGAUCCUAUUUUCCCGGCUACCAAGCACCAAGACCUUCUAGGCCUCGGCUUGGAGGAGUUAUAGGGGCCUAGCAACUCAUCUGCCUUGGCCUCGAUCUCCUCCAAAGAUAGGUCUGUGGGAAUCAGGUGUAGGGAUACGAGGUAGGCUACUCUAGCGCAAAUCAAAAUUUCUACCGCGUAAGACUAGGAAUAACUGCCGUAUAAGGAUCACGGGAUUACCACUCGACGCACUACUGGUGCGGAAGAUGUAGAUAUGCGUCGAUGCAGUGAAGACGAUCACGUAGUCGUACGUAGUCGAUCAACGUAGUCGUACGUAGUCGAUCACGUCCAGCAGCUCCUCAGCAGAUCGUCCACGUGCAGCAAGAUCGCCUCCGGUGCCGCGGCUUGUCGUCGGCUCGUCGUGGCUCGUCGGCGGCUCGUCGAUGGCUCGUCCAAGUGCUGCAGGCGCAACACCUCCAAGGUAUCCACAUGUGCAGGGAGGAAGCGUCGCAAGCCGGAUUGCUAGAUCCGCGAGUUGCAAUAGGCGAGGGCGUGGGAGGCGCGGCAGGUGUGUUUCGCCAAAAAGGUGUGAACCCUAGGGCGCCCCCACCCCUCUAUUUAUAGAGGUUCCUGAUGGGCCUCUGGAUCCGAGGCCCAUUAGUACUCCUAAACCUAAUCCAACUCGGAUCAGAUCCGAAUUGGGCUUCCAGCCCCUUAAGUGUGUGACCCUAUGGGUUCGGAUACGUAUAGACAUGGCCCGAGUACUCCUACUCGGCCCAAUAGUCGGUAGCGGCCUCUAGCAAGACGUGCCAACUCCUAUACGCACACGAAGAUCAUAUCAGACGAACCAUCACAACAUAAUAUACAUGCUAUUCCCUUUGCCUCACGAUAUUUGGUCUAGCUUCAAGCCGACCGCUCUUUCUCGAUCCUGUGAUUCGGAAUCCCUUUGUAGGUUAACUCUUAACCGUACGUAGCAUGGCCAUGCAUUUUCGGAUCCGAUCACUUGAGGGGCCCAGAGAUAUCACUCUCAAUCAGAGAGGGGCAAAUCCCAUCUUGACUGACCAUGUCUCAUAGCAUGCUUCUUGACAAACCCGAAAGCUACCUUUAUAACUACCCUGUUACGGCGUAGCGUUUGAUAGCCCCUAAGUAGGUCGAUCCACAUCUAGAAUACAUGCAACAGUCUCAGGUCUAAGGACAAAGCGUAUAUGUUGUUUAAAGAGAGAACUACUUCUCGUGUUGGGUCAGUCCUAGCACAUGUCUCCCCAUGUGUCCACAUUAUUAGUUCAACAUCUCCAUGUCCAUGACUUGUGAAACAUAGUCAUCAACUAAUACAUGUGCUAGUCUAAUAUUCAUGUGUGUCCUCACAUGAACUCCGACUAGGGACAACUUUAGAAUAACCAUACAAGUAAAGAGUUUCACAUACAAUUCACAUAAUUGCAGAUCAAUUCAAGUAGCCUUCAAUGGAUAUUCAAUGAACACAACAUACAAAUCAUGGAUACAAAUGGAAUAUCAUCAUCUCUAUGAUUGCCUCUAGGGCAUACCUCCAACAUCAGGAUGAGGGGAUCAGAGGAAAGUAGGAGCAGAUCCCGGAGCUCAAAUGAGCGAACUCACCGAGGAGGUUCCACUUGAGUUGCUUCUGAAACAUGGUCCAUCCCACCUUAUCCUUCUACACGACAGGCCAGCUGUCACUGACCACCGAGAACUCCCACCCCUGUGCGAGGGGCCACACCCCUGUGACCAGGAACUCCUCCACUAGGUCCUGCAUGGAGAAGCAUUGCGCAAUGGUUCCCACUAAGGCCACCCUCACCCGAAGGGCAUCAUCUGCCGGGAAGGAAGGCUGUGAGGUGAGUUGGGCUUGUUGCAGGUGGACUUCAUGCGCGAGUUCACUGGGAGGUUCUGGUAGAACCACUUGGACAACCCGGUGGUCUCCCUCUGGUCUUUGUAAGCUUUGGCAAAAAUGGCCGCCUAGUCCUGGUUGUAGAUGAAAACUUGCUCAUAGCAAAUCUCUGUCUUGACAUCCUUGAAGACGUGGAACUUCUUGCGAAUGGAGGUAGAAUGAAGGUGAACGAAGGUAUGAGCAGAAUGGGUCACGAAAAGCCGACUUGAAAGUGUCCAGGCACACGAUCGAGUUUGGGGCCACAUGCUGAAUCUCGAUCCCGUAAUAGGCCAACAUGGAGGUCAGGAAGUUCGAGCACGGGAAGCGGAGCCCACACUCAUAUUGCUUGGCAAAGACCACCACCUUGUUAGGUUCCAAAAUGGGGAUUGACUCUCCUUUCAAGGGGCAGACCAGGGGGCUGUCGGAAACUAACCCCUGCUCAUGAAGGUUGUCUAGGUACUCGUCAUCCACCGCGCUUAUCGGGAGGCGCCGGGAGACAAGGUGCUCCUCUCAUGCCUUCUUGAUCUUCGGGGGGUCACCUUCCGAAGAAGCCACCCUCUUCGGAGCCAUGAGCGAUCGAGAAGGGGAAAGAGGAGCUUGACAAGAGAUAGGGGCUACGCAAGUGUCGUGGGGGUAAAUGAAGAGCGAAGGGAGCGCUAGGGGCAGAUGGAGGCACGGCGGCUAAGGAGUAAACCCUCGAAGGGAAGGUGGGGGUUGGUAUUUAUAAUCCCAAGGAGAGCCAAGCGGGCGGGCCUAGGACCCCCACGACAGACCAUCCCUACACGACCCAACCACGCAAAGCCAACGGGGAGAUGACAUGUGUCCCACUAACCCAUGUGGCACUACCAACAGGCACGCGCACCCUCGUGCCCCGCGCCUAAUGGGACUUUUCGGGUCUCGACCCCCGAGCCCAUGCUAGGUGGCGCCGAGGAAGACUAGGAUGCGCCACCCGAGCUGGCUGUGGGCUCGGGAACAAGAAGAAGAAAGCCUUCCUACCCUUGCGGACCGCUCUCCAGACCCUAUUCCUCCACCGGCUAUCUCUCCUACUAGCCGGAAGGGUCUCGGAGCCCGUCAUCCGGGGGCUUGAACAACGAAGCCCCGAGAAAGGACUGCUAUUGAGGAAUUGGGUUAAGAUCGCAGGUCGAAGGGACCAUCCCCUCCGAAAGGCUUCCAAAAGCUUGGAAGUCUCCGGGGAUCCCUCGGACUUGGGAUCUGAAGGGUUACCAUCGCGUAGGAGUCCCGGGCGGAACACAACGGAAAUGGGAUCGCCGAUGAGGCCGCAAGGAUAACAGACGAGAAGGAAGGAAGGGCUUCCAAUCGAGUCAUUCGGAACUCCCUCGGAAGCCUUUCGCUCCCCCGGAGGUGUUGCCCGUUCGGGAGAGACGGGUGAAAGGUGGGCCCUAGGAAGAGCCUUACGCAUCUCCUAAAAGGAGAAAGGGGGAGGCGUCCGCGUCAACCCUAGGCACAAAGGCCAACCGCGCCCACCUCCCGUACGGAAGAUCUCCGUACGGGACCGCCAUGGUCGCCCUAGGUAUGGAGAACCUCCGUACCAGGAAAGGUUUUGACCUCAUUACCCCCACCAUCGCGUCCCAGAGGACCCAGUUUCCACUGGCUCCGUACCGGGGGGUAAAAGGGCCCUUUGGCCGAAAAGGCCCCAACCCCAAGCCUAUAAAUAGAAGGGUUAUAGGCUCAAUCAAGGGACAACAUUCCUGCCACUCAGUCCCCUAGAAGCUAUUUGGACAAGUGUCUUGUUGUAGAGCCACCCUCUACUGUUUGGACAUUUUGUAAUCACCAACAAUACUCUACCACCAACUACCGGACUAAACUUCCUCACUUGACCGUCCUUUAAAUACCCAAAUAUCAAAACCUCAGACCUUAAUAAUCUUGAACUCUAAAAAACUCCCCAAACCCUAAAAAUUCCAACCACUAGAUCCUUGAUCAUAACCUAAAAAAUUCCCAAAUCCAAUCUUUUUUAAGAUAAUGGAUAAUAGUACCAGUUCCAGCCUCUUCAAAAAUAAGAGGAAUUAGUCCACGAUUAUUACAGACUAGUAAUGGACAAGCAUAAAUAAGAAAAAUUGCUGAGCAUUAGAGACCCAUUCUAAAAAUGAAAGGCCACACAUGUGAAGCGAAGAAAUGCAUAACAACUCAAGAGUGCGGCAUAUGCCUGAACAAUAAACGCCUUGCUGUCACUUUGCGACUAUCUCCAUAGAUGUAGCCACUAUAGCCAAUGUGUUCCCUGAACAAGAACUGGAAAAGGAUUUUGGGUUAUCAAACACCACAUAGCAAUAACCUUACUAUUGUGUAUCAAUCUAGUGUUAUUCUCUGCAACUUACACAUAUGGCUUCCUCGUCAAACUUGCAAUAGCAUCCACACUUUCAAGAUAUAAUACCAGUUGUAUCGAUGGCGGCAUGCAGGGAAAAGCGACCUUGCAUAUAAGCUGAUGCUUGCCGUCAUGUGCCAUGCAUUAUUGGCCUUAAAAGUUGUCCUUUGUUGUUAUUCAAGCCAGGCACAGCGUGGGCAGAGAAAUAAUGUACUACCUCCGUAUCAAAAUAUAUAUUUAUCAUUGUUGACUUUUAGUCACGACGUUUGACCAUUCAUCUUAUUAAAAAUUUAUCUAAGUAUCAUUUAUUUUAUUUGUGGACAUUAUAUGUAUUUUAAGUAUGACUUAUCUUUUCAUACAUUUACACUAAAUCUUUGAAUAAGACGAAUGAUCAAACGAUACAUAAAAAAAUCAAUAACGACAAAUAUUUUGAUACACAGGUCGGAGGGAGUAUAUAAUCUCACGCAAACGCAAGGUCGACCACAUUUUGUUUUCUCUCGCCCUGUAUGGUGAAGUGUACCACGUGCACAUCUCCUAGCUCAGACGUGAGAUGUUGACAAAAGGAAGGAAGCUUCUUGUGUGUCAUCAGCCAUGUAUAGCUGCUAGCCGCGCGCAUGCACGGUCGAUCUCGGUCCCCCCAUUUCCCCAUGUGUGAGCGCAAGUGUACUGUACACAUACGUACAUAUAUACAGGGGUCGCCGCCGGCCGGCCGUUUGGUUUCGCUCGCAUGGGAUGCGGGCCGGCGGCGCGGCCGUGAGCAUAUGCACGUACGCAUCGGUGGAUAACAGCCGUCCCAGCCAUGCUAGUGGCCUAGUGGGCGCACACUUCACCAAACGCUCAGCACCACACUACACUAGCAUGCUUCAUGCUUGUGCUUUGUAUCUGGUCUGGUGUGGUGUAUGACUGUAUAUUAACCGGCGCCGGCCUAUAGGUCCUAGUAGCUGCACAUGUAUGUUGAACGAAAAUGUCCUGCGGCUAUUAUUUGCUGGAUCAACUUCUGGUUCAUGCAAUCUAGCUUGACCAAGUUAGUGAACGGGAACUUCUUUUUUAUAGUAAUAAAGACUCAGAGCCUUAGUAAUAUAAGAUGUUGUAGGAUCUACCUUUUGGCAGCACUUUCAGCUUUGUUUCUAUGGAGGUGUCACACAAACUGUGCCAGACAAGGCUUUGUUUCAUUGAUUGUUGAUAGUAGGAGAUCAGAUCAGCCAUAGUCAGUUGAACUCUAACGGCAUGACCAAUGGAUAUAUAUGUGCUUAGACAUGCAUGGUACGGUUAUUACUGGAGAACCGACCUUUAGUACCUAACCCCCUUUACUACCGGACGCCUGACUGGUAUCGCUUCAUAGCAAGUUACAAGUCAGGCGUAAUAUGCGCGUGCGCGAUCCAUGGGAUUCGAACCCACGAUCUCAAGCCUCGCGCGAACCUUCCUUACCAUCUCGCCUACACAGUAUAUGUGAUGGAGUUAGAUAUGUUUUCCUUUUGAAGUAACCCGUGGAGAGGUCUUUAGUACCCAAUGGAUAUAUAUGCUUAGACAUGCAUGGUACGGUGUGCUUAAAUUAAAAGAAACCACAUGCAUCAUCAGGUGCUUAUAGCAAGAUAAGAUGCUUAAAUAGUCUUUUGAAACAAACUUCUCUUUAAAUAUAGUCAUGCCUAAGCAACUUGUACUCUACGUGAACUAAAGUAGGAUGGUGAUUUUCAACUCUAGGAAAGACUAAACUAAACAUGAGCCUAACUAUCAUUUAUUUGUUAGAUAUCUAGUUAUAACUUAUAUUUUACAAACUUAUAUAACCUUGCGGUUGGCCUGAAUCGGAAACACAAGACUAAUUUUCACUUGUUGGCGCUUGGAAGUGUUCAUCACAGAAAGCACUCACUGGUAGAGCUCGCCUUUAGUCCCGGUUGGUAGAGAGAAAAUCUCCCAAAAAUCCAUCCGGGAUAAACCAAUCAAGACAAAAGGGGUCUUUAGUCCCGGAUCUUUCAACCGGGAGUAAAGCCACGCUUUAGUCACGGUUGAUUUUACCAACCGGGACUAAAGGGACUGCCACGCCAGGUGCGGGACAGGGCGUUUACUCCCGGUUGGUAAAUUACCAACGGGGAGUAAAGGGUGCCCCUUUAGUUCCAGUUGGGUUUUCCAACCGGGACUAAAGUUUUGCAUGAAAUUUAGGCGCGUGCCAUGCAGGCACCUGCAUGGCACCUGUAAUUUCAUGCAUCACGUAAUCCUUUUGUUAACCUUUAGUAGUUGAGACUUUUUUUAUAAUGAAACCAAACUAGUAUUUAAACGAAUGAAACUAGUAAUUAUACAAUUACUAUAUAUACAAUUCUUAGUAUAUAUAUACAAUUCUUAGCAUACUAUACAAAUCGAUCUUAGCGUAUAUUAUAUAUACAAAUCAAACUAUAUAUCUACAAUCUUCCCGUCGAGGUGUUGCUCGGAGCGUCUAAAUUUUGUCCAUCGUAAUAAAAUUCUCCUUGUGAAUUUACCACCUCUUCCAUCAGGAAUCCAAUGGGACCUUCACAUAUUGCCGCUACUCUUUCAUUCUUCAAGAGUCCAUGUUGAAUAUUAAACAUCUAUAAUUUAGAAAUAUGUGAAUGUUGCACGAACAAUUAAAUAUAAGGAGUUACAAAAUAAUUAACUAUUAAUAGUUUUAUUUUAUGUACUUUAAAGUUGUGCGGCGUCAUCUUUAGUCCCUUGGGUCCCCCAAAACUGUGCGUGUGCUCACAGAUGUAGUAGCCACAUAGAUUAUUCCCGGGUUCCUAUCUUAAGCACUCCAGUGGGGAAAAAAUAAGUUAUGAAAUAUUCGUGUUAUAGAAUGUAUAAAAUGUGUAGACUUCGUACGUACCAGGAAGUCUAUGUUCCAUGUAAGUUUUUCUUUGAAUGGACCUUUAUGUGUCCUAAUGAAUUGUCUCCAUGCGCUGCGGAUUAAAAUAAUGAAUGAUAUAGUGUUAGGUGAAAAUUUAGAAAACAAACUUUUGCAUAGAGAUAAAGGUCCAGAAUUAUUACAAGCCUAGCAUGUCUUGCAUGUCUCGGUACUCCACCGAAUCUUUCCUCAACGAAUCGAAGACAGUGAUGUGGCUUCUUUCAGGCUCAAUUAUAAUGAGGAUCCAGUGGAAGCUGCGUACGUAAAUGUUCAUAUAUAUUAGAGCUAACUAACAUUAAUCAGGUAAGGAAGAAGAAAACGAAAGUAGAUGGAAUACAAACACUUACUUGAAGUUGUAUGGAAGUAGUAUGAAAUCCUUGAAUUUUUGUUUGUCUAAGAAAUUGUAUACUUCCACCAAGGUUUUGUCCGGCGUGACCUGUAUCUAUUUUUGGUUAACUACGGAUGGAUCCAUGAAGCCAAUAUGGAGGUACCCUUCUCAUCGGCAUGUCUAAAUUAGCAUCCUACAUCAAAUGGAAGACGAAGUUAGUGCGGUGACGCACGCAAAAAAAAA